CCAGCAGGCAAAACUGAAAUACAAGUUAAAAGUAAUAAACACCGAAAGCCCCCGUAUUCUCGCAUCUUAUGUUUGUUGGGGCAGUGAGAAGAAUUGCGAGCGAAAUACUAAUUUCCAUACCUAACUGCGUGAGAUAAUCUGCGGUUGGCAUUGUGUGUGUCUCGCAAUAAAACCCCCAAAAGCCCAAAGCUUCAAGUGUUAAAUAGAAUCAAAUAGAGAAGAAGCGUGUGUAUUUGCAUUUGGGAAAAUUAAAGUCGAAUUACGUGGGCCGAAAAAUUAAAGACUGAAGGCCAUUCAAGGGUUGUUCAAAGAGAAAAUUCGGUGAAAAGUCACGGUGUGCGUGUGUGUGCGUUGCGUGAGAAAAAUCAAUUCUGCAUUUGGUGGAAAGCCGAAAAAGGAGAGAAAAGUGGUGGAGUGAGGGAAAAAGGACACGAAGGCUGGUUUUUUGUUGGCUGCGAAAAACUCGUGACCGAUGACAAUUUGGCUUGACGAGGGUCUAUUAGCGAAAUCAAUGCCAUUAUGGCUGAUACUGGAGGACCAGGAUCCAAGCACAUGGAUCCAACAACCAUAGAUGCCGGCGGAGGAGGAGCAGGAGCAAGCGGAGCAGCCGGAGGCGAUGACGUGCCUCCAGUCCCAGCUGUUCGCCGGCCUCGUGCGCAUGAGCAGAAAUCCUCGAGAGAGCAGGUGCUGGAGGAGGAGGAGAGCCAACAGCUGGAGACAUCGACGGUGACGAGGACCUACAUGAAGACCAUCACCACCUCCCUCACCACCUCGAGUAGCUCCAAUGUGGAAGAGUUUAUCCUGGGGGAGCAUGCAGCAGGAGCAGGUGCAGCAGCUGCUCCAUCACCCAACCAGCAGAGAUUGCGUCAGAAGGUGGCGCAGUACGAGAAGGUCUGGUCGGAUGGCUCCAGUCCUGUGAAGCGUCCAGCCGAUCAGAGCUCUGACGAGCUGCGUCUGGGCGACGACCAGGAUGAGUACGAUGCCGAGAAUCCAUUCGAGAUUGACGUCCAUGAGAUUGAGCGCCGGUUGCGCCAGGAGAGGCAACGUGGCAUGGCGGAGGCGGAGGCAGCCAAGCUGGCCUUUCAGCAGGUCCAGCUGCGGCACACCACUCCGCCGCGCCGUGUGGAGGUGACCAGUGACCAGGUGGCGAGUCCCUUCAAUGUGACCCUGCGCACCACCAGUCGCAUGAGUCCCGGUGCCGAGCACGGAAAUGUGCAGGAACACCUGGCGCCGUUCAAUGUGACCCUAAGAACCACUCGCAGGACCAAGAAGAAGGAGUUCAAGGAACUGGAAAACUUCCUGGAGGGCGAACGUACCGUAAGGGAGGUUCCAUCUGCGGACGGCGUGAGGACCAUCAUCACAUCCUCGAUGACCAGCGAUGGUGGCUAUGCCGAGGAGAAGAUCUAUCGCCACGGCGAGGGCUAUGUAUCGCCCAGGGACUCGCCCUCCUGGUCACGUUCCAGUUACUCCAGCGAGCGAUCCAGUGUUACGCCGCCGAGGAGCGUGGAUCUAACCGCCGGCGGACGAAGGAUACUGAUCAAACUGGAGCAGGAAAGCGAACUAACCGAGGAUAGCCAGGCGAGGGACGAGACCGACCUGUCGUUCGGUCGGCAGGAAGUGGCCAUGGCAACCGGCAACAUUGACAUUACCGUCGGUGGUAGCAACCCCCGCCGGCGUUUGUACCAGCAAACAACUGUCCAGGUGGGUGGCGGCAACCGCACCAGCCCCCAGGAUUUAACACCCCAAAGACCAAGGGACUUAGACCUGGCCGGCGCCACGAAGACAAUGCUAACAUCCACGCCAAUUGGCACGAAGGAGCAACCGCAAACGGGUCCGAAAACUCUAGUUAGUCCAGCUGCAACGUGCCAAUUGCGCGGUUCUUCGACGGAAGAGCCCCGGAAAAUUAUAAGCCACAAAACGAUAACCAGCACAACGACCAAGUCCACCUCAUCCUCGAACUCAACCUCGAACUCCGCCACCUCCUCAUCGUCCACGUCGCGUAAAUUAAUCGAAUCAUCGCCGGUGGUCGUCGGAAAAAUCGCGCAAAUUCGCACCGGGAAAUCCAACGCCAGUGACAACGAUAUCGACAUCGAUAACGAUUCGGACACGGAGGGCAGACCCGCCAGCAGUAUAGUGAUUGUGUCCACGCCCACGCGUCCCACCACUCCGGCAACCGCAUCCGCAUCCGCAGUAACCCCAUCCGCAUCCAUAUCCGCGUCAGCUGCCCACGCCCUCAGUGGCAUCGGCACUUUCAGCAAGAGUCUGCGCCAGGAUUAUCAGACUCUGGCAACGCAAAGUGGCCGCAGCAACGAAUCACCCAGCGACCAGGAAUACCAGGAGUUCCAGUCCACCAUGGCGUCCAUCAAUUACGCCCGCAGCAAUUCCCAGUACGACAGCCAUAUCAAGGAGAAACGAGAGGAGCAAGAACGUGUGCAGAAGAAGACAUUCACUAAUUGGAUUAAUUCAUACCUAUUGAAGCGUGUUCCACCGCUUCGCAUCGAUGACUUAAUCAAUGACUUACGCGAUGGUACGAAACUAAUCGCAUUGUUGGAAGUUCUGUCCGGAGAACGUUUGCCCGUGGAGAAGGGUCGCGUUCUCAGACGUCCACAUUUCCUCAGCAAUGCCAACACGGCCCUGCAAUUUUUGGCCAGCAAACGGAUCAAGUUGGUCAAUAUCAAUCCCGCAGAUCUGGUGGAUGGGAGACCACCAGUUGUGUUGGGUUUGAUAUGGACAAUCAUCUUGUACUUCCAGCUUCGUAAAAAGAGGCGGAAAAACUUAGUAGUAGUUAUAAAUUAUGCGCCACAGAUCGAGGAGAACAGCCGCAACCUAGAGUAUUUGGGUCAUGGUAUUGGCGGUUCGGUUAGUUCCCUCGACAGUGUUGGCAACCAGAAGCACGGCGAUCUUAAGGCUGAGAAGUGGAAGCAGGGUGCCAGGAAGACCCUGCUCAACUGGGUGACCAAUGCCUUGCCAAAGGACAGUGGUGUGGAGGUGAAGGAUUUCGGCGCCAGCUGGAGAGAUGGCGUCGCUUUCCUGGCCCUCAUCGAUGCCAUCAAGGCGAACCUGGUCAACUUGGCUGAGCUGAAGAAGACCAGCAACCGUCAGCGUUUGGAGACCGCUUUCGAUGUGGCCGAAAGCAAAUUGGGCAUUGCCAAGCUCCUGGACGCUGAGGAUGUGGACGUACCCAAGCCGGACGAGAAGAGUAUCAUGACAUAUGUGGCGCAAUUUUUGCACAAGUAUCCCGAACCAAAGGGUGCUUCCCGCGACCAGUCGCAUGUGCAGCAGGAGGCGGACGAACUGCGUCGCUUCCUGGUGGAGAAGACCACUGAGUACGAGCCCAUGGUCAUGAUGAGCUCGUUCCCACGCGAUUUUGGUGAAUACUUACUGGCACGUUCUGAGGUCGAUGCACAUUUGGCGGCAUACAACCGCUUGAAACAGCUCAUUGAGAGCCAGAGCGGUUUCCUGCAGGUAUCCCGCCAAUCCUGGGAGGAGAUCAACGAGCUGUGGCAGCGCCUCCAGUACCAGAUGAUGUACUGGCUCUGGCUGCUGGAUUCGGAGCUGCCCGGCGACUUUGGCACCGUUGGCAAAUGGUUAGCCGAAGCUGAGAAAUUAUUAAUGGACAACGAUAUACCCAAUUCAAUGAAUGAGGAGACGGCCGCAGUGAUCAGCAGGAAGCUGGAGGAGCACAAGCUCUUCUUUGCCGAUUUGCCACGCAUUUUGGCCAUGUUUGACAAUGCCAAGCGGUCACCAGUGGCCCAGCAAAUACCCCUGGAGCAGUUGCGCAACAUGGAGCGUCGCCUUCAAGAGGUUGGACCCAAGGCAGCGGAGCGAAGGAUUCGUUUGAAGUUCCUGGAGCACAAGUGCUGUUUGAUUGCCUUCCUCAAUCUGGUGGAGAACAAGAUGCGCGGAUGGACUGGAAAGUAUGGGCACGAGGAGAAGGUGGCCCAGCAGCUGGAGCAGUACAAGAACUUUGUGUCGCGCAACAAGAUCUUCCAGGAGUUCCAGAAGGCCUUUGUCGAUAUGCAACAGGUGGUGGAGGAGUACAAGCGCGAUGGCAAUGUGCCGCGCAAGGAGAUCAACGACAUCGAUCGCUUCAUGUACGAAACCGAGGAGCGCUGGAAACGCGUCUCCAUGGAACUGAAGUGCUGCCAGAACUCCCUGGAGGAAGUGGUCAACUGCUGGCGCAGCUGGAACCAAUUGGCACCCACCUGCGAGGAGUGGCUGCAACUGGCUGAGCAGAAGGUCAACCAAAGCGAGGAUGAGCGCCUGGACUUCUUUCAGGAUAUACCCGUUUGGAAGGACAAGUUUGAUGCCCUCGCUAGCUCUGCUAACUAUCUGAUUGCCUCCUGCGAGGAGCCCAUUGCCCAGCAACUGCGUCAGCGACAUGGAGCUCUCUCGGAGCGAUUCGAGCGAUUGUUCGCCAACACCAAGCAGUAUAUGCAUGCUGGUGACAUUAUCCGAUCCCGACAGGAGUACAAGUCGGGCAUUGAGCAGUUGUCCAGAUGGCUGCGAGGAGCCGAAAGUGUUCUGGACCAGCGACAGGUCCUUGGCAACAGCGAACAAGUCAAGCAGUAUGGCCAGCAGCUGCAGCAAUUGGCCAGCGAAAUCGAUGACAACGAGGAGCUAUUCAAAACCAUCAGCAGGAACUUCCAAUCCCUGAUCCAAGACCUUUCACGCGAUGAAGUGGACAAGAUGAUGAAGCUACUCAAACAAGAGAAGGAAUCUCUGGUGCGCAUACGUGCCCAGUUGCCUGCCAAGCUGCAUCUGUUCCACCAGCUUCAGAUCCAACAGGAAUCCCUGGAGGCUGGACAAAAGGAGAUCCACCAGUGGCUGAGUGAGGCCGAACAGCUGCUGGGAACGCAUAACCUCUCCGGAGGCCGUGAUGCCAUCAAUGAGCAACUGCACAAGCACAAGACCUACUUCUCGCGCACUGUCUACUACCGAUCCAUGCUGGAGAGCAAGAACAAGGUGUUCCAGAACCUCCUGAAGGCUGUAUCCUCCGAUGACAAGAUCGACACCGCUCCUGCUACCCAGCAAAUGCAACAGCUGAACGAGCGCUUCAACUAUGUGAUCCAGAAUGCCCAGCAAUGGGAACAGCGCUUGGAUUCGGCAGCCGGUGGAUGGAGCAACUUCAAGGACAACGAACGUGUGGUCAGCGAAUGGCUGACCCAAGCUGAAUCCAUGUUGGUGGAGAAGCACAUCGAGUCCAAGACCACAAUCGAGACACAGAAGUACUUCUUUGAGCAGGUCAACGAUCGCUGGAUGAAUGAUCUGGUGCAGUCGGCUCAACAACUUCUGACCACAUUGCCCGCCCAGGAGCAACCUGCAGUGGUGCACAGUGUGGAGCAGUUGCAGUCCCGCUGGAAGAAUGUGCUGUCCCAGGCUCCUUUGCAUCUAUUGAAACUGGAAUUUAGACUGGAUGAGAAUGCAUUCUAUCAAUCUCUGAAGGAUGUAGAGAAGGAGUUGCAGCUGGAGCAGCAGGCCCUCAAUCGCAAUGAGGAUGUGGACUCCAUACUGCAGCGCAACCAACAGUUCCUUCUGCAACAGGAUGUCGUUCCUCGUCUGGAGCGAUGCCUCCAAAACAUGCAACGUUUGGCCCAGGCCCACAGGCAACAACAGCCCGGUGACAUUAGUCUGGAUCAGGCCUACGACAAUGCCAAGUCACAGUGGCAACUGUUGUCCAACAAAUUGGGCGAUAUGCGUCAGACUCUCCAGCAAAUCCCGGCCCAAUGGCAGGGUUAUCAUCUGAAGUUCAACGACAUGGUCGAUUGGAUGAACGGUGUGGAUCAGAGCCUUAAGAAUAUUGUGAACGAAGUUAAUACCAUGGAGGAAUUCGAAAAGGAGAAGGUCGUUUUCCAGAAAAUCUGCCAAGAUGCUGACAACAAACGCGAGGACAUGAAAUGGUUGGUCAAGACCCUGGACUCUCUGCUUAGUUACGCCACCGAGGAUGAGGCCAAUCUGGAGCAGAAGAAACUGGAGGAUCUGAUCGCCCGUUACAAGAACCUAAUCCCCACUAUUGAAAUCACGAUGGUCAAAACGGAAGUGUUCUCCAAGUGCUACACUUACCGCAGAGAAGUGCACGAAGUUGUGUGCCUGCUGAGCAAGGUCAAGGAUCAGACUGCCAAUAUACCAGCUCCCGACAGCCUGGAACGUGUGAAUCGCCUGAUUGAGGAGCAGCAGUAUGCCGUCAACCAGCUGGAUCACCAGCGUCCGCAUAUCAUGUCCAUGCUGCAAAGAGGACGUGAUCUCAUCAAGGAUGUCCAUGCGCCGGCCUUUGUGAAUGCCGAGGUCAAGAAUCUGGAGACUGGAUGGAAUCAGGCGUACACAGAAACCUCUGACAAACUGCAGGCCCUCAAGGGCACCCAGGCUGUUUGGAGCGAGUUCGUGGACCAGAAGAACGAUAUUUUCUCCAUGCUCCAAACUGCGGAGACGGAGCUGCGUUCUCUGACACCAUUGCAAACCGAUCCCAAGAACGUCAGUCAAGAUCUAAAGUCCAAGAGAGAUCUUAACGUACAACUGCAGCAGGCUUCCCAUCAACUGCUGCCCAAGUUGCAUGCUCUCAAAUCGGAACUGGCGCCUCUGGCCGCUGCCGAUAAGCGUCCCAUCCUAGAGAAGGAAGUGACCGAGGUGGAGAAGAUGUUCUUCAACACCAUGGAGCAUGUGAAGGAUCGUGUCGGUUAUCUGGAAGACUACAGUGCCAAAUGGAACAACUACAAAACCCGUCUCGCUGAACUGCAGGAAUGGGCCAACAAAGUCGCCCCCAAGAACAUUGAGGCCCUUCAAUCGGAGGACCUCACACCGGAGGAGCGUGUGGUCAAGGUGCAGGCCUUCAAGCGUAUCCUUGGGGAUCGCAUGAAGCAACUGGAUCUUCUGGCCGCCGAUGCCUCCGAGUUGGCGCCCAAGGAGGGCAACAUUGCCGAGGCCAAGCGACUGAAGGGCGAGAUCACCAAGCUGCAGGAGGUCCUCAGCGCCAUCAAUCGCAAUGUGGACCACCAGGCACAGGCCGUGCAGGAGGAUCUUGUCAACUGGCAGCAGUUCCAGGCCGGUCUGCAGCAAAUCAAGCCAGCCGUGGAGCAAAGCGAAGUCAAGGUAAAUAAUGUAGUUUCUAAGCCCAUCUCCCUCGAAGAAGCCGUUGCCAUGCAACAGAAUGCCCAACAAUUCGAGACACAGUGCCAGGAGCAAUUGGACAAGCUCCAUGGCAUAUCAAACAUCAGUCAUAAAAUGUUAUGUAAGACCAAUGCCCCCGACGAAUUGGACGCCAUGCACUCCCGUUGGACUGCCGUCCAUGAGAACGCGAAGCAGGCGAGCGCCAAGCUCGAGAAAUUGGUGGCCAAUUGGAAGUCGUUCGACGCCGAUGCCGCCAAGCUCGAGGAUUGGGUUGGACAGGGUGAGCAGCUAAUGUCCCGCCGUCCAGCUGUCCUCAACACCCCGCACAUUGACAAGCUCGAAAAGGAGCUGGUCAAGCUGAAGUCGUUCAACAACGAGAUCUCGCAGCAACAGGCCAAGCUGGUGACUCUGGGUCAAAAUGCCGAUCAAAUCAGUUUGCACUUGGCUCCUGAAGGAGCAGCCGCUUUGAAGGAUCGUGUGUACCAAAUGAAGGGCAAGCUGCAGAAGCUCUCGGAAGCCACUCGUGGUCACAUCAACGAAGUGUCUGACGCCAUUAUCUCCAGGCAGGACUUCAAUGCCAAGUUGGUGAACUUUUCCAACUGGAUGGAGCAGCUUCGCAACCAGGUCACUCAGGUGGAGGAGAUCAACCCGGAGCGGGUGGAAACCAGUCUCCAUGUCAUCCAUGCGCUGCUGCAGGAGCAUGCCGAUAAGAAGCCAAGUUUCAAUGCCAUAUAUGAUGAGGUCAAGCAAUUGGCCUUGGGAGCUACUCCCGAGGAGUCGAAUGCAUUGAAUGAUGCCUACACCGCUUUGGUGGUGAACUAUCAGAACCUCGAGACCAACAUGCUGCAAAAGAAGGCGGCUCUGGAGAAGUGGACCGAGCUGCUGGGCUGGAAGAAUGACACUGAAUCGCAUUUGAACUACCUCAAGCAUCAGCUGGACAAACCGGAAGGACCUGCUGCCGAGGAGCUGUCCAAGGUCAUUGAUGAGAUCGAUAAUCUGGGUCAGGGUAUUGGGUACUGGAAGGGUCAGGCUAAGGAGAUCGACGAAAACCCGGCCAUCCAGUUGAGGGAUGCUCUGUCUCGUCGUCCACUGAUCGCCACCCAAAUUGUGAACGAUGUUGAGAAUAAACUAGAGAAUCUAAAACUUCGCUCGCAGAACCAACAACAGCAAAUCCAACAGAUGACCGUGCGCAAGGACAAGUUCCAUGCCCUGGAGCACAACUUUGGUCAGGCACUGCAAGAAAAUCGCGCUAAACUGGAUGAGAUACUCAGACAACAUCCGACUUUAAAUAACAUCGAUCAAAUCAUCGCCGAUUUGGUCGCUCUGAAUGAUGCCCUGAAAUACCAAGCCGAUCUGAAGAAUCGCAUUCAUGAUGAGGGUUCUUUGCUGAUGCGUGAGGAUAUUGCUAGCAUGCCCGCCAUUCAGGAGAGCCUUCUUAUCAUGGAUAAGAACUACGAUUCUCUGCAGAAUGAAAUAGCUGAUCGCAUUCAGAAGUACAACCUAAUUAGUCAGGCCUUGAGAGAAUAUGCCGAUUCCAAGGACAAGUUUACCAAGGAGCUUCAGAAGGCAGAAGAUCUAUUCAAUGCUAUACCUCAACAGCCCCGUGAUGAAACCGAGCUCCAUCAAGCUUCCGAAAAGACCAGGAAGACAAUGGAGCAGUUGCGUAAGUCGAAGCUCAGCUUGGAUGAACUGGAGCGUCGGGGCAACAAUGUGGGCAAACUUUUCAGUGCCAUUGGAGAACCCAUUCCACAGGAAGUGCCACAGGAGGUCACAGCUGCCAAACAACAUUGGCAGGAUCUGCACGAUAAAACUGCCAAGAAUGCCCAUGUGUACGAGACGGAAGCCGUGAUUUGGUCACAGAUCGAAGAUGCCAAGAAGGAUCUGCUUCCCUGGUUGUCCGAAACGAAUCAGGGACUCUGCGAUGCUGCGGAUAACUCAAUCGAAAUUGAGUUUGGACCCAUGCGUCUGAGCAAGUAUCGCACAGAGUUACCUUCCUAUCAGGCACUUAAGGAUUCGAUUGUGGAGAAAACCAAUGAUUUGGUAAAGAUCAACAAAGGUGCAGAGAUUCCCGCUCUAUCUGCGCUCAAUAAACUCCUGUCUGAGCAGUUUGCUGAGGUCAGCAAUAAUGCCGAUCGUCUAAGUGCCAUAACCACCUCGUUUAAUGACCAGGAACAAGAGUUACGUAGGCGUUCGAAGGAAGCUGGCGAAAAGGUGAGCAAACUUCGUGAGCAGCUGAUCAAGUGUGAUGACAUGUCCGGUGAUAAUAACAAGAUCAUGGAGCGUCUUCUGCAAUGCCGUGCCCUGCGUGGUGAACUCGAUAAUAGUGGAAACGAAAUCGACAACAUUAAGCAAAAGGUUGACGAGCUGCGUAAUCUGUACCCCACUUUCAGUGAGUCCAUCAUACCCAAAGAACUGAACAAUGUACAAAAACGCUAUGAGAACGUCGAUCUUUAUGCUAAGAAGAUUGAAAGUUCCCUGCUGCAGUUCCUCAAGAAGUUCCACGCCGAUAAGGUGGGCAUGCUUAAGCGCAUCAUUGCCACUCAACGCGAAAAGGUGGCAUGGUGCCAGCCAGAGUCCUCCAGUGACAAAUACAAUCUGGAUGUCAAGAAGUCCUCUCUGCAGGAAGUCAGCAAGAGCAUUGAUGACUGCAAGGCACGCCAUGCCGAGACACUCAAGUCCUUGGAGAUGUUGAAGGCUGUAGAGUCGCCACAGAACCUGGCUGAACUCACCAGCGAUGCCGAGUUAUUGCGCAAGGAUAUGCAAGCUCUACAGGACAGCUUUGACAAAAUCAAGGGAAUCCUUGACGAGAACGUUGACUUAUGGUCGCAGUAUGAGCAAUCGAAUGAGCAAAUUUCCAACUGGUUGCGUGACGUUGAAGGACGCGUCAAGGCAGAAACUAGCAGCCAAGUCAAUCUAUCCGAGGUUCCUCAAAAGCUUCAGGAAUUGUCUUUACUCCAGCAGGAUGUGCUGGCCCAUGAGCCUAUUAUUAAUAACCUUGAGCAGACAUCCCAACAGCUAAUUGAAAAGAAUCCGGAGGCGAGAAUCGGCCAGUUUGUUACCCACUUGGUGCAGCGCUAUCAAGCUGUAUCCAAGGCACUAACCAGCUACAUCGAUAAGAUUCGUAGUGCACAGUUGUCGAACGCCAACUUUGCCAAGGCCGCCAAGGACUUUAACGAGUGGUUUGGAGAUGCCAAGAUCGAGUUCCAGGAACUUGCUCGCAUGGGAUCCCCCGGAUCAUCCUCUGCCACAGCUCAGCAACUGCAGACCGUCAAGAAUUACAUCAAGACCUUCGACAAUGGUCAGAUACUGCUGAACAAUGCCGUAGAUAUUGGUGAGGCUUUGUACCCAGUGGUUUCGCCCGACAAUCGCGAACGUAUCCGAGCUGAUCUCCGCCAGAUGCGUGAGAAGUUCGACUACUUGCGAGAUGAGGCCAAUGCUUUCAUGCAGCAAGUUGAGGGCGUUCUGAUUCAGAAGACUUCGAUUGAAGAAAGCUACACUCAGGUUUCGCACUACCUUAACGAAUCGAAGGCUAAGGUUCCCACCGGUGACGAACUGUAUCCCACUUUGGCCACCAAGAAGGCUGCCCUCCAGAACUACAAGACUCAGCUGCAGGAGAUCACCCUGCACAAGAAUGCUCUGAAGCAGUUGCACGACAAGGCUGUGACCCUCUGCGAUGAUGAGUCCGAGAGGAAGACCGAUGAGUCCAUCCAGGAGUAUAACACGCUGUCCAAGAAGAUUUCCGAUAGGAUUACAACAGUGGGAAAUCAUGUGGUCAAGCAUGAAGCCUACGAUCAGGUGCUGGAAAAGGCGCAAGACUGGCUGAAUACCAUCAAGUCCGAAGCCAUUGAUAUCCUCAACGAGACGACAUUUGAAAAGGAAGGCGCCGAGGAAAAACUGCUGGUUGUGGAAAACCUUCUGCAACACAAGCCCGAGGGUGAUUCCAUUUUCGAUACCUGUCAGACGUUAUUGGAAACGGUGCUCACACAAACCCAUCCCAGUGGCCAUCCCGCCCUGCUCAAGGGUUUCGAGGAGCCAAAGCAGUCUUGGGAGGACUUUAUGACUCUUUGUCAGGACUCGUUGGUAAAACUGAAGCAGCUUUGCUCUAAAUGGGAUGAGUUUGACACGAUCAUCGAGGAGCUAGACAACUGGAUGAAGAAUGUCGAGGCGGUGGUUAAGAACCAGAACCUUAAGAGUACGGCGGAAGCCAAGAACGCCCACUUAAAGCAGCUUCAGGAUAUUUCAAAGGAUAUUGAACGGCGCGGUGUGGCCAUCAAUGAGCUAAUGGAUCAAGGCCGUGAGAUUGAGGGUGAAACCGAUUUGAACCUUAAAUUGUCUCGCCUGAAUACUCGCUACCAGACCCUGAAGAAUCUGUGCAAGGAAUCGAUAGCCAAGUAUGUGAACUAUGUAAAGGAUCACGAAAGUUUCGAUAAGGACUUCGAUGCAUUCAAGCAAAGUCUUCAGUCCUCGGUCGACGAGCUCGCCAAGACCAAUGAAAUUGUUGGCGAUCAAAGCGUGCUGCAGGAUCAGCAAAAUAAACUCCGUGAGAUGUCCGACAAGCGCAUUUCGGAUUCCACUCUUUUCGAAGGACUCAUCGAUCGUGGCGAGAAACUCUACGGUCACACCAGCCCUGAAGGCCGUGAAAUCAUUCGUCAGCAAUUGCGUGCCCUGCGAACCCUUUGGGACAACUAUACUGAUGACCUGAACUCGGCGACGCAGAAGAUCGAUCAGUGUUUGCUGCAGUUUAACGAGUUCAGCAUUGCCCAGGAUCAACUAACCAAGUGGCUGAAGGAUGUGGACAAGGCCAUGCAGAGCCACACUGAACCCAAGACGACGCUGCAGGAGAAGCGUGCCCAACUUCAGAACCACAAGCUGCUGCAUCAGGAGAUCACCACACACAAUGUUCUGGUUGACAAUGUCUGCGACAAGGCCCAAAUACUGGUCGACCAGAUUAAGGAUAACUCGUUGAAUGUGUACUUGACCUCGAUCAAACAGCUUUUCCAGAGUAUUGUCCAAAAGUCCGAUGAGAUCUUGCACAAUCUGGAGGAUUGUGUUCAGAAGCAUAAUGAAUUAAACAAUGCUCUUGCCUCAGCUAAAACCUGGAUCUCGAAUGAGAAGGCUAAAUUGCUGGAGUGCGACGAUGCUUAUGGCGAGAAGGCGGACAUCAAGCGCAAGAUCGAAACUUUGGGACAAUUGGCUCAGAACAAGCCACAGGCAAUGAAAAUAAUCAGCGAUAUCCGUGAUCUCUUUGAGAAGGUGAAGGCAACGACCUCCGAAAAGGGUAAUGAAGUGCUGGAGAAGGAGAUCGAGGAAUUGGAGACCACCAUGAAGAGUCACUUUGAUGACAUCGAGGGCAUUGAAGGCAAACAGAAGGAUGUACUGGCCCAGUGGGACAAGUUUGAAAAGGCGCUGGAAGAACUUACCAAGUGGUGCCGUAGUGCAGAGGCCGUGUUCCGCGAACAGCAACUGCAGUCCACGCUCCAUGAGAAAGUGGAGCAGCUGGAGAAGUACAAGAUUCAAAGGGAGUUGAUUCUCCAGAAAGAGAAGGAGAUCGAUGCCUUUGGCGAUGCUGCCCAUGCUCUGCUUAACAACUGCGGAGCCGAUCGUCUAAAGACAUUAACCACUCAGAUCACCAACCGGUAUCAACUGCUUCAAGUUCUCAGCAAGGAGGUUGUUAACCGCUGGUCGAAUCUGGUCGACGAUCACCAGUUCUACCAGGAUAAGUUCAACGAGGUGGAUUUGUGGCUGCAACCCAUUGAAUCGCAGAUGGCGAAGGUCCUUCUGGAUGAGCCAACCCAGAGUUCAAACAUUUUGCAAGUGCUGCUGUCUGAAAAGGAGCAAGCAGAGAGCUUAUUUGCUGCUCUGAAUGCAGCUGGAGAAAAGGCUCUUCCAGAGACAUCCACUCAGGGUAGGGAGAAGAUCCGCAAGGACCUGCGCGAUAUCCGCGAUCGUUGGGACAAACUGGACGAGGGAAUUCGCAACCUAGAAAAACGCCAGGAAGCGCAGGGAGUACAGCUCUCCAGCUACCAGGAUAUUCUCAAUCAAACUGUUAACUGGUUGGAUCAAGUGGAGAAACUACUUCACAAUGAAAACCCUGCUAGCUGGACCAGUGCCCAAGAAAUCCGCUCUAAGUUGUACAAGUACAAGGCCACCAACCAAGAUAUCAACUCUCAUAAACGCAUAGUCGAGGCUGUGAAUGAAAAGGCAGCAGCUCUUUUGGGAAGUGCCGCUCCAGCCAACGCAGAUGAGAUUUCCAAGGCGGUGGCUGAGGUGAACAGGCGGUAUGAACAAGUGGGUCAGGACUGUGCCAAGUUAGUUGCCGAUCUGGAUGGAGCCUUCGAUGUGUACCAGCAGUUCAGUGAGCUGCAGAAGGCUCAACAGGACUACCAGAAGAAUCUUUGGGAUCGUCUUACCGGCUACUCUGACUACUCAGGCAAUAAGGCAGCUCUACAAGCACGUCUCCAAAAGAUCAACGAGAUCCAAGAUGCUUUGCCCGAGGGAGUGGCCAAACUCAAGUCCCUAGAGGAACACAUUGAGCAACAGGCCAGUAAUAUACCCGCUCGAUCCAAGGAGGCUAUGGCCCGUGAUCUGGCCAACUUGCAUGCUGAUUUCGAGAAGUUUGGAGCUUCGCUGAGCGACGUAAAGAGCGGGUUGGAGAAUCGUCUGCAACAAUGGAAUGAUUACGAAAUCAACUUGGACCGACUAAUCACUUGGUUGGGUGAGGCCGAAAACGCCCUCAAGAACUACAAUCUGAAAUCUUCGUUCGAGGAGAAGGAGGAGCAACUGAACGGUUUCCAAUCUUUGGCUCAGAAUUUGCGUCAAAACGAAGCUGACUUCGACAAGGUGAAGGACGACACCUCUGAGUUGGUGCAGAGUUCUGGUGAAACAAGGAUUGCUGUUAAUGUGCAACAGGUCUCCUCCCGCUUCCAAUCGAUACAGGCUACCGCUAAGGAGAUUCUCAAGAAGUGCGAGCAGGCUGUUCAGGACCAUGGUCACUUCAAUGACAAGUAUAAGCAGUGUGCCGACUGGUUGGCUAAUGCUCAGGCUCGUUACGAUGAUUGCUGUGACUUGUCCACGGUGGCAUCUCGAGACGAUCUUCUCAAGAAGCAAAUGGUCAUCCAGGAGCUUCUGGCUCAACAGCCCACAGCUACCCAGCUUCUAAAUAGCACCGUUGAGCAGGGCGAGAAGUGCUAUGGGUCCACAGCAACCGAAGGACGCGAGGCCAUUCGUAGUCAGCUGGAUGAUCUGACAUUCGAUCAGUUGUUUGACAACAUCGCUAUCACGGCAAGAAAGAUCCAGGAUAAGAUCGCCAAGUGGUCUGGCUUCGAUGAGAUUGCUGACAGCCUGAAGAGUUGGUUGGAUGAAACGGAGAAUGCUCUUCCAGCUGAUAUUGAGCUGAAAACCACUCUGGAUGAGAAACGCAAUAAGCUGCAAACCUAUCGUGACAUCUUGAACGACAUCAACAAUCACCAGGUGGAGUUGGGUAAUCUUCAGGAGAUUGCCGCCAAUCUGCCAGAGAAAACAGACCUUGUGGACGAAAUUCUUAAGGACAUCUCUGAUCGUUUUGGAAAGCUGCAAAAACGCGCCCAAAACUACGUGGAGCGUUACGAGGGAAUUGUGAGUGCACAUCAGCAGUACUCCAAGGCUGUUAUGGAUGCUCAAGAGUUUAUCGAUGCUACCCUGAAUACGGUCCACUAUUGGGGUGAUCUGGACCUAGAACAGAUCUCACUGCACACGAACCUCGAUCGUCUAAAGAAUCUGAAGGCCAGCUUGGCCGAUGAAUUCCCACGAGUUGAUCAAGUCAGGGCUUUGGGCGAGAAGGUUAUUCCGGGUACGGUGGAUGUGGGACAGGUGAACAUAAAGUCCCAGAUCGACACCACCCAGCAAGAAUGGGAAAGUCUACUGACCACUAUCAGCUCCACUAUCGAAGCCAUUGAAGCUCGUCUACAGCAUUGGUCGGAAUACGAACAGUUACGUGACCAGUGCUUGGCUUGGAUUCGUGAUACGGAUAACAACCUUCAUGCCAUCGAUCUGAAGGAGGAUUUGCCGAAAAAGCGUGCUCAGUUGGAUGCACUGAAGGCUCUUCAAGGAGAUGUACGCGCCAAGGAAUUAGAGGUUGAUAAUGUCACGGAGAAGGCCCAAACCCUUCUGAAGGGUCCAUCCAGCAAUCGAGCCUCGGGUCCUGAGUUGGUUACCAAGUACCAGCAGAUCUUCCACAAGGUUAAGGAGCUGAACAACCGUUGGCAACAGUAUGUUACUUCUCACGAAGAUUUUGAUAAUGCCAUCUCUGAUUGCUCCUCUUGGAUCAACGACAUCAAAGAAAAAUUGGACUACUGUUCCGACAUGUCAUCUAUGAGUCCUAAAGAAUUGGAUAAGAAACUGGCCACUAUCCAGGAUGUUAUCCUGCUGAAGGACGAAGGUUCUGCGCGUGUCUUGAAGAUCUUAGAGCAGGCCCAACACGUGUUGGCUAACACAGCGCCCGGAGGUCACGAGGCCAUCAAUAAGGAACUCACCGAUCUUCAGGAGCUCUGGUCCGGAAUCGCUCUGCGCAUCAUGGAUGUGAAGUCAAAUCUAGAUGACUCGAUUACACAAUGGUCUGGUUUCUUGGAUCAAGUGCAAAAUGUUCGCAAGUUUAAUGAGUGGUUGGAUGGUCAGGUUAAGGAGUUGAGUGAGCAUCAAACAACCAUGACAGAAAAGCGAGCUCAAUUAGAUCGAGUUAAGUCUACGGAGGAGAAGGUUCGCGUAGAAAAGAUUGAUGUGGAUGCACUCAAAAUCCAAGCCAAGGAAAUGAUUGCCAGUGGUCAACAGAGUCAGGCAGCCUUCCAGGCCCAAAAAGUUCUGGAUACGUUUGACGAGCUCUUUGCCAAGACCCAGAAAUUGCUGUCCGAUCGUCAAGAUCAGUACAGGGAUCAUCGAUUGUUCAAGGAGGCCUACGAUGAUCUGGUUAGCUGGAUUGGACGAGCUCGGGAGAAAUUCCCUUCGUUGAAACAGAGCAGCUUAAGCGAUAAACUAGCCAUUGAAAACGCUGUCCAAGCUACCGAAGCUCUUCUCAACAAACAGGCGCAGGGAGAACUCCUCGUUGAGCACUUGGUCCACACUGGAGAGGUGGUGCUGGCCAGUACUUCAGCUCAGGGGCAGGAAAUCAUUAGGAAUGAUAUCCGUGCCUUGCGCGACAGCUUCGAGGGCUUGUUCCGUGAAAUUAACCAGCAGAAGGAAAACCUUGAGGUGACCAUGGUUCAAUGGCGAGCUUAUAAGGAGGAAUAUGAACGUCUGAUGGAAUGGCUCCAACAGAUCGACAUCCUUGUGAAGAACCACAAACUGAACCUGUGCCCCAACCUACCUGACAAGGAGAAGCAAGUGGCUGAUAUGAAGGAUGUAAUGUCUCGUCUCGAGAAAGGCAAAGAUGACAUCGAUAAGUUCAAAGCGUCGGCUGCCAGUCUGCUUAAAUCCCAUUUGGAUACUUAUGUGAACAAUCAGCUGAGGCACUUGAGCUCCGUGUAUCAAGUACAGGUAAAUCUAGCCAAGGAUGUUCUCAAGAAGGUGGAAACCAACCGCGAUCAGCAUCGUGAAUACGAUGCCAAUAUGAAAUCUGCCAAGGAUUGGAUAGCAAAUGCCAAGGCUACAAUUCAGUCGGCGGGUGAAGGAGCAGGCUCCAAGGAGGCUCUACAGCGUCGUCUCGAGCAAAUUCAGGAUCUGAUUCGCAACCGUGAGCUUGGCCAGAAUUUGGUCCAUACCGCGAUCAAUAAUGGCGAAAAGAUAAUUAGGAACACGCGUUCCGACGGACGUGACGCCAUUAAUUCCGAGAUGAAGGAACUGCAAACCGAAUGGGAUCGCCUGGUGAAGAAAAUGUCCACAGCCAAGGUGCAGUUGGAGACAAAUCUGUUGCAAUGGGCGGACUACAGUUCCAGCUACUCCCAGCUGCAGCAAUGGAUUACUGACAGGGAGGCCAAGUUGCAGCAGGCUUGUGAACAGAAGAUCGUAAAAUCCAAGAGGGGUCAACCUGGUCUCAGUAGUGGAUUGAGCGAACGCAAGGCCAAUCUUCGUCAGACGAACAACAUUGUCCAGGAUAUUGUGUCAUUUGAGCCCAUGAUUCAGUCGGUUACUUCCAAGGCUUCGGUUCUUCAGCAGGGUGCUCCGGGCACUGAAAUCUCGGAUAAGUACGAGAAUCUCACUAAGCAAGCUAAGGACUUGUACGAGAAACAGAAGAACACCAUCGAGAGCUAUCAGUCCUUGAUCGACGCGGGCAAUGAGUUCGCCACGUGGUUGAGAAAUGCCAAGGAACGAUUGAGCAAGUGCUCGGAGCCCACGGGCGAUAAACAAGCCCUGGCCGAGAAGACCCACCAGCUGAAGAUCUUGCAGGGUGAGCUUCCCGAAGGCGCCCAGAAACUUAAGAAUGCUUUGGAACAGGGCGAGAUCGCUUGUCGCAGUGCCGAGCCCGAGGAUUGUGAGAUCAUCGAGCAGGAAGUGGCUCUUCUUCAAGAGGAAUUCGAUGCCUACAGGGAGGCCCUCAAUAAGGCCAAGGAUUACCUGGAAGUGGGUAUUGUCAAGUGGUCCGACUACCAGGAUCAGUACACCGAAGCUCUGGAGUGGUUAAGUAAGACCGAAGCUUUGGUGCAAUCCUACAACAAACUGCAGGAUAGCUUGAUCCAAAAGAAGGUUGUCCUCGAGCAAUUCCAAGGACAUCUGCAAACCCUAUUCGACUGGCAGAAGACUCUGGAUGACCUGAACAUGAAAGCACAGGUUCUACUGGAGACUUGCUCCGAUACAAGAAUCAGCAAUGCUAUCAUGCAACUGACCACCAAAUACAAUGCGCUACUGACUCUGGCCAAGGAGGUGAUGCGUCGACUGGAGAUGCACUACCAGGAGCAUCAGCAGCACCACAGCCUGUACGAGGAGUGCCAAUCAUGGAUUGAGAAGACCCGCGAGAAACUAUCCGAAUGCGAACAAAUACCCGGAACUCUAAACGAGGUUCAAAUCAAAUUGAACACCGUGAAGAACCUUCGUCAAGGUUUUGAAACCGGCCAGAAUAAACUGCGUUAUCUUUUGGAGCUCAAGGAGAAGGUGAUAAUGAACACAGAACAGAAUGGAGCAGCCAAGAUCCAGGAAGAUACCGAAGCCUUAAAGCAGGACUUUGACAAACUCCUAGUGGAUCUAAACGAUGUUCGCCAGAAAUUGGCCAAUCGUCUUGCCCAGCUGGAGGAGAUCUUCAAGCUGUACAAAAUCCUAGUUGAAUGGCUAGAGGAUGUCGAGCCGAGUGUCAAGACCAGUAAUGAGUUCCUGAAUGACUUGAGUGAGAAACGAGCGGCGCUGGAGAAGUUCCGUGUCAUUCAGCGAGAUAUCAAUGGCCACAAUGAUAUUGUGGAAAAGAUCAAUCAGCGACUGAAGGAGGACAACAGCUUGGAUCUGAAGGACUUCCAGCCCGGCUUGACCAAAUUCGAUGACCUGCAGACUCAGGUGAACAAGAUCAUUGAGUCGCUGGAGAACCAGGUAAACAGCCACGAGAAAUACAAGCAGGCCUACAAUGAGCUGCAAGACUGGCUGCGACGCACUCGCAUUGAGGUGGAGCAGUGUGCCGACUGCCAUGGCGAGAAGGAGCAAGUGGAGAGUCGUCUGAAUCGAUUGGGAGAUAUACAAUCGUCAUCUCUGGAGGGCAAAGCCCUGCUUGAAGCUUGCGAAGAGCUGAGUCAGGCGGUGAUUGCCACCAGCGGCAGCGAAGGCCAGGACAAUGUGGCCCAGGAGAUCAAACAUCUCACCUCAGAGUGGGAGACCCUCCAAUCGCUAUCCCGCGAUGCUCGCAGCAGCCUGGAAUCCUGCUUGGCCGCCUGGCAGACCUUCCUGCAGAAGUUCAACAAGAUCAACCUGUGGAUCGAAACGAUGAACAAGCGCGUUACCAAAUCCCAGGAGGGUGAGAACAAGACUCCCGAAGAUUUGGUUAAUGCCAAGAAACUGCUUGAGGAAGUGCUGGCCGAGAAGGAUAAUGUUGAGGAUCUGAACGACAACUGUGAGCUUCUCAUGGAGCAGAGUGCCUGCACUCGCAUUCGUGACCAGACCAUCGAGACUCAGGCCAACUACACCAAGCUCUUGACUUCCGCCCAGGGAUUGGUUGCCAAGAUCGAGAAGAAUCUGUCCGAUCACACCGAGUUCCUGAACUAUAAGAAGGAAAUGGACGCCUGGAUCGAAAAAGCUCAAACUGUUCUUGACGAUUGCUCCACUGAUGGUGACGCAGCCAUCAUUGCCCAAAAACUUGACACGGUCAAUUCAUUGGCUUCUCGCCUGCCCGAGGGUCAGCAUCUGUUGGCUCUGGUGCAGGAUGCCUACUCGAAGGCUUCGAACAUCACUCCUGAGGAUAAGCAAGAGAAGCUGCGGGAGCUGAUGACCAAGGUUCGUGAGGAUUGGGAUGCCCUGGGACUGGCCGUGAAGCAGAAGUUGAGUGACCUCAAGCAGGCGCAGAAUCGUUGGAACGAUUUUGCUGCCAACAAGGAUAAACUUGAGAAGUGGCUCAAUGAAACCGAAACGACUCUUAAGGUGGCCCCGGAAACCAAGGGCGAACUGAGCGAAAUGAAGACCCUGCUGGAGCGUUACAAGACCCUUUCGAAUGAACUGAAACAGAAGGGUAACGAGCUGGAGCAACUGCAGUCGGAGGCUCGCGACCUGGGCACCGAAGUGGAUGCAGUGAAUCGCUUGCAGUCCCGAUGCGACAAGCUCAAGAACGAUUGCUCCGCUCACAUUGCGGCGCUGGAACAGGAGAUGUUUGAUUAUAAUGCCUACCACCAGAGUCUGCAGGAUGUGGAGAAGUGGCUCCUGCAGAUUUCCUUCCAGUUAAUGGCCCACAAUUCGCUGUUCAUCUCGAAUCGUGAACAGACCCAGGAGCAGAUCAAGCAGCACGAAGCACUGUUGGUUGAAAUUCAAAAGUACCAGACCAAUUUGGAUGAUUUGAAUGCGAAGGGUCAGGCGCAGAUUAAGCGUUAUGAGUCCUCAACCCCAGCCAUUCGUCCUACGGUUGAGUCACAGCUGAAGAAUAUCCAGGAUAGCUACAACUCCCUGCUGCAAACAUCAGUGCAGAUCAAGAACCGCCUGUUGGAGUCGCUGGCCAAGUUCCAGGAAUACGAGGACACUUUGGAUAGCAUUAUGCGUAAUCUGGAGACAUAUGAGCCUAUUAUUCAGACGGAACUUGAUGCUCCGGCCACCAGUUUGGAGUUGGCUCAAAACCAAUUGAGGUGUGCCCAGGAGAUGCAGAACAAGCUGAACAACGAGAAGUCCCGACUGGCAGCUGCCGUUCAGGCUUGUGAGGCAGCCACUGCCUCCAUCAGUCGUCCCAGUUCUCCACUGGAAACAGCCAUGCAGGCUAUUCCCGAAAGGGAGCUCAUUGUGCGCGCUAAGCUCGAGGAUCUGCUGGAUCAGAAACCGCCUCCAAAGACUCGGAGCUCAACCAAAGGUGUCAACAGAGAUGAUGAUGAAGACGAGGAUGAUGUUGAGAUUCAGGUUGAGCUCAGCGAUGUAAAUGAGGCGCUUUUGGAUCCCAUUGCCCACGAGCGUGUCAGGAACUAUCGUCGCAUAGUUCGCUUGAAUAGCGCUCAUGUGGGCAAGCUAAAUGAAUUAGUUGCUAAGGUGCAAUCCCACUUGGGUGGUCUGACUGCAUCCGUUAGCGAACUGGAGCAACAGCAGAAGCAGCGCGCCGAGCUGCAGGAUUGGGUGAAGAAGCAGCAGAGCUCCAUCUCAGAUUGGAUGAUGCGUCCUUGCAAGUUGCGUCCGGAGGCCGCUCAACAGGAGCUGGUGUCCAUGAACGAUUUGUUGAACUCCAUCGGUGACAAGCGGUCGCAGUUGAUGCUGGAAAUGACAGGAUCAUUGGGCGACGAGGAUACCGAUCUGGAUGAUAACAUCGACAAGCUGGAAUCGGAGCUCAUGGAUGCCAUUGCCAAGAAGCAGGCUGGUCAGAAUGUAAUCGAUGGCUAUCGCCAGGGAAUGGCGGAUGUCCAGAACUGGUUCGAUACCCUGAUCAAGCGCAUGGAUGUUUUGGAUCGCGGUUCUGGUUUGAAUUGUGCCCAGAAAAUGGCGGCCAUUAAUGAGAUCAAAAACGAAUAUGAGCUGCAAGGACAUCCCAAGAUUCAGGAGCUGAAGGGCAAGGCAGCACAGGUGGCGGAGGUCAUCAGCAAUCUCGAUGGUCAGCAAGUGGAAGAGCAAAUGAAGUCACUGGAUCGCCGCUUUGCUGAUCUCGGCAAGCGCAUCGAUCGCAAGGCUCAACUCCUGGAUGUGACCAACAAGGGUGUGGAGGGAGCCAAGGGCGAGAUUGAUCAACUCCAGAAUUGGGUGAAACAACAGAUUGAGGAGCUGCAGGCCCCCACUCCAUUGGGUUACACUCCCAAGGAUGCCGAGGCACGCCAACAGAAGAUCAAGAGUCUGAUGAAGGAUGCCGAGGCCAAGCAAUCUCUGGCCGAUGUCCUGGAGAAGCGUGUGGCCAACAUGCAACAGGAAUUGGAACCCGUUGAGUACUCCCAAUUGGAGUCCGCAUUGCGUAAUCUCAAUACUGAGAACCGCAAUUUAUCGGGAGUCCUUAAGGCUGAACUGGAUCGUGCUCUGGAGGCCAGCAAGGCUCGUAAAACGCUGGAGAACGACCUGGACAAGGCACGCCAGUGGCUGAAGACCAAGAUCUCUGAAGUGCGCAAGCUGCCCGUGUACCACCCACUUACCUCUGCUGAGAUCGAGAAAAAGAUCCAGGAGAACCGGAAAUACGAUGACGAUGCCAAGCAGUUCAACGACAGCGUUUUGACUGAUGUUCAGCGUCAAGCGGCCAACAUAAUGAAGGAUUGCGAUGACGCGGACAAGGCUGCUCUGCAGCAGAUCCUGGAUGAAAUUGCUGCCGACUAUCAGACCCUCAAGGAUGAGAGCAGCAAGAGAGGCAAGUCUCUGGAUGAUCUUCUGCAAGGCCGCAAAGCCUUUGAGGAUUCCAUGAAGAACAUGGGCGAUUGGUUGAACGAAAUGGAAACCGCCACCGAGGGUGAGCUGCGUACCACUAGUCUCCCCGUUUUGGAGGAGCAACUGGCCCAUUACAAGAAGCUCCUCAGUGAUGCCGAGAAUAAGGGCGGCCUCAUCAACGAUGUUUCGGAGCAAGGAAAGAGCAUCCUGCCCACACUGAGCAAUGCCGAUAAGUUGAAACUCAACGACGAUAUCAAGAACAUGAAGGAUCGUUAUGGCAGAAUCAAGAAUACCAUCGAUGACCGUGUGAACGCCCUGGGUGAUCACAUCAAGAAGUACAAGGAUGCCAAGAGCAGGUUGGCCGAGUGCAGUCAGUUCUUGGGCAACAUUCAGCAGAAACUCAGGGAGCUGAACCGCCCGAUUGGAUCCAGGAUCGAAGAUGUCCAGGACUUGUUGGGUGCCUAUGAGGGAAUUCUCAAGGAACUCAAGGACAGCAAGAGCAAGAUGGGCGAUAUGCAGAUAGAUGAUUUGCCAGAGUUGCAGAGCAUUUUGGCCCAGCAAGAUGAUAUGAUUAAACUGAUUGAAGAUCAGUUGGCCCAUCUUCGCCAACUUCUGCUGCUCCGCGAGCAGUUUAUUGCUUUGAUUAAUGAGAUUAUUGCCUUUAUUAUGAAGUACACCGAUGUCAUCAUUGAUAUUGAGAACUCACCUGAUAGCCUGGAGGAUAAGAUCAACAAGUACGAUGAUGUGAUUGUGAAGAUUCAGGAGUGCGAGGGUGUCUUGGCUUCGGCCAAUGACAAGGGCCAGAAGAUUGCCUCCGAAGGUAAUGCUGCCGAUAAAAAUAGCAUUACUGAGCAGUUGCAGUCCCUGAAGAAUCAGCUGCAGAAUCUCCGCAAGGCGGUGGAAUCGCAGCGUCAAAAGCAUCAACUCCAGUUGGAGUCCCACAAGAAGAUGGCCGCCGAACUGAGCGAUAUCCUCGACUGGUUGCACAGCCACGAGGGAGCGGCCAAGUCGCGUCCUUUACUGGACCGGGAUCCCGAGUCCGUGGAGCGUGAGCUGCAGAAGCACCAGGGUCUCAGUCAGGACAUCGAAUCCUACCUCAAUAAGUUCAACAAAAUCAAUCAUGGGGUUAAAACCGAAAUUGGCAUGCCAAGUUCCCUGUUGGAAAUGCUCUCCGAGGGCAGAUCCCUGGUGGCUUCACUGCCCCACGAACUGGAGGAGCGUGAAAAGUAUCUGAAGAACAACCGCGACUCUCGUUUGGAGUACAUGCAACUGGUGGCCAAGUUCAAUGACUGGGUACAUGAGGCCGAGCUGCGCCUUCAGAACAGCCAGCAUGGCAUCGACUACGAGCACUUGGUCCAGGAUCUUGACGAACACAAGAUAUUCUUUGGCAAUGAGGCUCCCAUCCGCAACCUGGUGCACAAGCAGAUCCAGGAGGCCGCCGAUAAGAUCUGGUCCUCGCUGAACAACUACGAACAGUCGGAACUUUCGGCGGAGUUGGCUCAGUUCCAAACCAAGUUGACCAACACCCUGGCCAAUGCCAAGACCCAACAGAGUGAACUGGAGAAGGAGGCCGAACGCUGGCGGGAAUACCAGCAGUCCAUUGAUCGCGUCAAGGCCACCAUCGAACGUACCAAGUUUGUCGAUGAGCCCGUCCAGAAUUUGGCUGGACUCCACUUCAAUAUCCAGAAGCUGUCGCACGCCAUCGGCAAUGUUCAGAGCCAAAACAGCGACCUAACGCUAGUCAACCAGCAGGCCCAAUCGCUCAUCCGCCAAGCGGACGCCCGCAAUCGCCAGCUGAUUGAACAGGAUAACGCCGGACUGAAUAGAUCUUGGCAGGAUCUGGUGCGCAGCCUGGAACAGCGACGCGACAACCUGCAACAGUUGGCCGAGCAUUGGGACGGCUUCGAGAACAGCCUGCACGCCUGGGAAAAGGCACUUGGUCGACUGGAGGACAAGUUCCGCAAUGUCGAUCCGACUGUAAGAUCCCGACGUCACUUGGAAGAUACGAAGAAUGCCAUUCAGGAACUACGUGAAGAAUCAAAUCAACUUAAAUCAUCACAUAAAGAAAUCGAGGCGCUCUCUAAAUCCAUCCUCACAUUCCUUGGGGAAGUACACAAACCCUCGGCGGAGGCCAUACAGGCCAAAGUGGAUAAGUUAGUUGAACAGCAGGCCAAAUUAAACGACACUCUGCGCGAUAAGGAGCAACAGGUUAGCAAGGAUCUCGAGGAGAUCGAGCAAGUCUUCCGUCGCAUCUCGCAGCUGCAGGACAAGCUAAACGCGCUUCACGAUCAACUCCAGUCGGUUCACGUCUACGACGAGCACAUAGCCCAAACGGAACAGCUCCUAAUCACACUGAACAGUCAGGUGCAGCAGGCCGCCGAGGAGAGCAAAUCACUGGUGGCCCAGACAACGGCCCACUACCAGGCCAAACAGAAUCAGCUGCCCAGCGACAUUGCCCAGGAGUUUACCGCUCUUGAGCUACUUGCCGAACGCGUCCAGGUGACCAUGGAGACCAAAGAGAAGGAUUUCAAGCGGGCAAAGACCGUGCGCACCGAAUAUGUGGCCGGUGUGGACGAGGUGCAGCGUUGGCUAUUCCAGGCGGAGGUGCAGGUGCAGGAGAGAAGCCUCACACCCACACAGAUGAAGGAGCUGCUGCAGCGCAUUAAUCACGAGAUCACCGCCAUCUACGAACGCUUCACCCUGGUCAAGACCAACGGCCAGCUGAUCAUCGAGAACUGUCGCAACAGCGAGGAGAAGACGCUGGUGCAGACGACCAUCGAUCAGUUGGCCGCAUCGCUGGCCCAGGUACGCGGCUGGCUGGAUGAGAAGAAGCAGGCGGUGGGCGAUAGUCUGGACGCGUGGACGAGGUUCAUGAACCUCUACCAGAUCGUGAUGUCGUGGGCUUCCGAGAAGCGCACCUUCAUCGACCAGACCAUCGAGCUGCGCACCCUGCCCGAGGCACGCAACAAACUGAACGACUAUGUGACGGCUGUGAAGAGUAUUAAACCGAUUGUGAAGCAUCUGAGCGAAAUGGACAAGGAACUGGAGCACAUUGGCCAAGUGACGACUGUGGGCGAUCUCAAGGACAAACUGCAGGAGGCCGAGGAUGCGAAGAUAUCCGUGGAAGCGGUGCUGCUAGAGAGGAACUCCCUGCUGCAAGAGGCCUGCGAGGAAUGGGACCAAUGUGAACGCAAGAUUAAGGAUAUACGCUCCUGGCACGAAAAGACGAAGCAGGGACUGGACUCCUCGCAGCAGCAGAAGAAACCGCUGCGCGAUCAGCUCGGCUUCUGUGAGAAGACCCUGGCCGACAUCAAUGUGCAGAAAACGAAACUGAGACUGUCCAUCGAGAAACUGGAGGUUCAUUUCCGCAAUGGCAUGGGCGGUGAUCCGCGCCUGAGCGAGAAUGUCGAUGAUCUGGUGCGCGUGCUCGACGGCCUCGGCGAAUUGGUCAGGGCCAAGUCGCAGAGCCUCGAGCAGACGCUGGCCCAGAUCGACGUUUACCAGCAGCAGAUGCAGUCCCUGCGCCAGCGCAUCAUCCAGGAGGAGCAGCAGCUCCGCCUGGUGAUGGCGCCCACGUACUUGCCGCACGAUCGCGAGCGCGCAUUAGCCGAGCAACAGGCAAUGCGAGAAUCAAUCGAUGGCAUGCAGCAAGUCUACGAUGCGACCGCUCGAAAGUCCUAUGCGCUGGAUCCCCAUUCAGUGGUGACCACUUCAUCGACUGUCUCGUUGCUUAUGAAGCCAACGGCGGCAGUGGGUCUAACCUAUGCUGAAGUGCUGUCGGGACAUGCGAGUCCGGUAAGCAGCGGUAAUGAAUCGGUAACCAAUCCCCGAACAGAACGAGACCCCUCCACGACGACAACGACCACAACGACUCGGCAGCAACAAUCGAACGAUACUCAGAACCGGACCACUAUUACAACCAUUAAGACUACCACAACCAAGACAACGACUUCGAGAAGUACGCACGGGGAUGACGAUCUAAGCCAAGAGCGAAUCGAGUUCAAUGGCGGUGGCAGCACCAUACCCACAGAGAUCUAUGAGCACCACGAACAGGUCACACCACCCAGCGAAUAUACCUCAAACACGGUUCCUAUCACAGCUACGACAACGACAACGAUAACGACAACCAACCCCAACACCCAGUUCAUCGAAAGCGAGCAGAGACACCAACAUCACCAUGCGAAAGCGGGUAAGAAGCUUCAGCCACCGCGGCCAGAACGCCGUGGUCGAUCUCCCAGACGCCGACCUCAACAGCCCCAUCCAGUGGAAGCCUCUCAACAGCCCUCGAUCGAGAUUCAAUUGGAGCCACCACAGCAAGCACAAGAACAGGAACAACUCUUCUUGCCUGCUGAUGACCGGACUAGAUCCCGCAGCCCCAUGUGGGUACCAGGAUCGACUUCCUACGCUGAAGUUCUUCGGGGACUGGAGCUGGAGCGGAUCAGGGCCGAACAGCAGGCCGCUCAGGCAGUUCAAGGCCGUUCCGAAUUGACCAUUCAGGAUGUUGUGGAUGCCAGCGCAGAAGUGUCAGGCAGUAUUUAUAUACCACAAGCUGAUCCAGAGCCCAUCAAGGAAACGCCGCAACAGCAACCACAGCUGGAACAGUACAUCACCGAAACGAGCACAUUACUUGACUAUUCUACUCCCCAGCAACAGGAACAGAAGCCCGCCAGCCAAUACGAAGCACCCAUGACUGCCGAAGAAAUUGCAGCCACCUACUUGCAGCCCGAUCCGCAGUUGUAUCAGACUAUGUACGAAAACGUGGCCGAUAGCGGUCAGUGGGGCUAUGUCACGGGAUCUGCGACGGAUCCACAGCAUCAGCAGCAGCAGCAGCCUCCACAGAACUACUACGAGCAGAUAAUGCAGAUGCAGUAUCCCAUACAGUAUCAACAAGUAGCUGUACCACCAGCCACUACGCAGUAUCAGCUAUUAGCAGGCUACUAUCAGCCGGUGCCUCAGACGGAGGCCUAUUCCACGGUUUAUCCGGCAGAGCCAAAUCAAAUAUACUACGCACAGCAAGCGGCGGAUUACUCGCAGGAAUAUUCACAGCAGCAGCAAGUCGAACCUAUGCAAGAAUACCCGCAGGAAACAGUGGAGCAGACAUAUCUGCUUGAUCCAUAUCGCGUUGAGAACACUCUUCCCUCGACGACAGGCAACAGCGUGCUGGAUCGCGUUGUUACCACACUGGCAUCGAUCGUUCAACAGAGUGCAGAACCCCUGACCACCAGCACCCAGCAAAUCCAACCUCUUGUCACUGUGGUCGAGAGCGAGCCGUACUAUAUUGAAGAGCAUGUUCAAAUGCUGCGACCUGUAGAGCCACAGGAACUUGAGCUGGAUGAACCGCGACCUGAUAUCACAUUUGGUCAAUUCGAGGUUGAUGCCAUUGAAACUAUACCAUUGGAUGAACCACAUGCACCACAGACCCAAGUCGAGACUCAGUCGCAAGUCCGUACUCAACAAACCAUUACGACAACCACUUAUGUAACAGAGACAUCAACGGUCUCCGAACAGACACAGCCAACUGUGAUAACGCAGCAGACUCAGGAAGUCAUCGCGGUACCAGAUAUCCCACAGAUCCCCAUAGAAGUGCCCACAACUGUCGUGGUGCACCCCCAGCCGCAGAGGCGAAGCAACCAACAGGUCCGGCCCCAGGACAUUAGCACAGGCAGCACUUACGCCGAAGUCCUCUUCGGUCUCCACCACAAAGAACAUCCAGUUUUCCAGCCAUCCAGUCAGCAACCGACCCCAGUGCGCCUUACGUCCUCGCCGCCUUUGCAACGCAAGACGGAACAGACUGGUACUAUCAGUACCACUACUUUUACCAAUAAGACUUCCCAACCAGCACGACAUGUCGAGAAAUCAUCGGCAUGGGAACACAAGAUCGACAAUGUGGACUCACGAACCUCGCGACUUAAAAGAGUGAGGCACGAAACUCAACCGGAACCACUACCGAUUAAACAGAGUACCAGGAAAGAUGGUAGGACGGGUAAAAAACCACAGUCUCCUGAUACAAAUGGUGUUGCCUUGGUGGAAACGAAAGUGGUUGAUGCUCCGGUAUCCAAUCCUGUAGUUGAAGAGACUUCAAAGCCUGAGCCAAAGCCAAGAAAAUCAAAGAAGCCAAAGAAGUCCACUGAUAAUGGGGUUGAAUCAGCCGCCGCUAUCUCAGUGCCAUCUAAGAAAGAUACGCAAUCGGCCCUUCCCUCUGUAGAGAAAACGGAAACUGUGGUUGAAAGAACUGUGAUAAAGAAAAUCGUUGAACCAUCUGUUGAGCCUGUAGAACCAAUUCCAGUUCCCUCGAAGAGAGAAAAGAAACAAAAGCCAGUUGAAGUGGCACCAGUCGCUCCGACCAGAAAAGAGAAAAAACAAAUCAAGAGUCAUGUUAAGGAGGUUGAUACCGCCAUAGCAAAAGAACUUGCUAUUGAAAAGGAGACUGCCAAGCCAGCUGAUGUUCCAAAGACACAGGGAAAACAAACGAAAACCGUGGUCGAGACGGUAGUUGAAAAGGAGGUUCUCAAACCAGCCGUAACUGAGAAUGUAGAGUUGGCAAAGACGCUUACCCCGGCGGCGCCUUCGAAGAAGGACAAGAAGCAGUCCAAGACAGUUGUUGAGCAAGAAGUGAUUAUGAAGCCAAUUGAGACUGUUAUCGAAAAGGAAGUAGUAACACCAACUGUGAUUGAAACAACCGAUGUUUCUCAAGUAAAGCAACAAGAAGCUCCUGCUCCUUCUUCGAAAAAGGAAAAGAAACAGACUAAAAAAGUGGUUGAGACCUCGGUCACUGUUACAGAAAAUGUGGAACCGGCUGUUCAUUUCGAGGCCACUCCUGCAGUGCCAACGAAAAAGGACAAAAAACGUUCUAAGAAGGAACCUAAGGAAGAAAUUAAAAUUUCCUUGGCAUCGGUGGAGAGCACUGAAAAUAUUACGGAGCCUACAGUUUCUAUUCAGGAAACAGUUGAAAAAGUUGAAACGUUAUCAGAAACAGUUCCUGAAACAACAUUAGAAGAAGAAAAGGUGACAGUUCAAUAUGAAAAUGGUUUUUCAGAUUCAUCACUUACAACUACUGAAACUGUUACGAAGUCUACCAAUGAGGUUGCACCCUCCAAUAUAACCGAGACCAUUAUUGAAGGCGAGCCCACGGUUACCACAUCGACUAAUACCAUUUCAACGGAAAGUGGAACUACAACUAUCACAACGCGAACAAUAACUAAGCAUAUUACCAAGCGCAUUGUGAAGCGAAUUGUAGAUGGUAAGGAGGAGAUUGUUGAGGAAGAUGUCAUUGAUGAUUUGCCUGAAGAGAACAUCUGCGUUGAGCAGUACAACCUACCAACAAUCGAGACCACCACCAAUGAGGUGCCCAUCGAUGUGACAGGAUUCGCUACAGCCCAGGAUACAAUCGUGCAGCAGGGAUCGAUAACCAAGACUGUUAUCACAAAGACAAAGCGCAUCUUGAAACGCAUCACCGAAGACGGAGAGGAAAUAGUUGAGGAGGUCUUUGAGGAUGAACCCGAGGUGGAACGCGACGUUACACUACUGCCUACCACAGUGGUCACUUCGUUGGAUGUCAUAAAGGAUGCUGCCCAUAAUGUGGUUGAGGAAGUUAUCAAACAAGCUGAGGAAAUAACGCAACCUGAAUCGCAGAAGUUGAUCGAGGAAAAGCCUGAACCUGAAGUUUCCGAAGAAGUUGUGGCUGUGAAGAAGCAAAAUAAGCCACAAAAGCCUUCGAGAAAGGAGAAGAAGCAAAAAUUAUUGGAGAACAAACCAGAAACGGUUAUCGAAACGAAGGUUGUCGAAAUUGUCGAGCCACAACAAGAAAUCACAGAGCCCCAACAAGAAAUCACCGAGCCGCAACAAGAAAUCACAGAGCCCCUGAACAUAACAAGUGCAAUUACAACAGAUAAUAAUCAAACUCUUUCGUCGGAGCAGACCACUGUCAGCGAUGAUAGUGGCCUCAUUAAGACUACAGUUAUUCGUACAACCAAAAUCGUAAAGAAAAUCUCAAACAAUCAGCAAGAAAGUCAGGAGAUGGUGUCUUCGACGUAUUCAGAUGCACCCUCGUCUUUGGGAUCUUACGAUUUGGCGGAAGAAGCAUUAGAACCUGCCAAGAUUGAGAAAUCAGAGUUAAAUAGCCGUGAAAUUAGCGAUGAAGGCGUGGUUAAAACAACAAAAACCACAACCACCAAAACAAUUAUAUCUCCCAAGGUAGAUGAAAGCAAAGAGGAACCAUCACUGGAAGUGACAUCCACUGUUUCGCCUCCAGUUGAUAUUGAGUCUGAGGAGGGUGGUGUAGUUAAAACUACUAUAGUGCGCACCACCAAAAUUGUCAAGAAGAUUUGCAAUGAAAGCGAAAAUGUGAGCGAGACCAGCAGUGAGCCAGAAGUCUCUCUACCAAUUGUGGAAACAGCCAUUCAAGAUGCACCUGUAGUAGCUGAAUCGGUUACAACCGAGUCGAACAGCGAGGGUAUAACCAAGACCACAACUACGCGAACUACAAAGGCUGUGACAAAGACUGUCACCGAAAAUGAACAAGAAAUCCUUAAGCUACCGGAUGUUCCUGUUGAUCCGGUUGAACCAGAAAACCAAACUGUUUUGGGUGUAAUUGAAACCGUCGAACUGCCAGAAGUUCCGGUGGCCCCUAUUGGAGUUGAGGACAAGCUCCUAGUCACUGCGACAGCUAAUAAAUAUUCCCAGGCUAGUCAAGAAAAGUCCUCAAUAGUGGACUUUAUUAGCGCAGAACAGAAUGCGACUGAUAAAUAUACAACGCCAAUAAAAACCGUCACGGAGGUUCCAGCUAUCGCGGAAUUUGAGAGCAGUUAUCCAAUUGAAGAAACUACGACAUCUGAGCCAGAAUCUUCUGAGGUUGGUGAUGUUGUCAAGACAACAAUUGUUCGAACAACGAAAAUUGUUAAAAAGGUUACCCAAAACACGGAACAAACUGUUGGUGUGGUCGUUGAUGCUCCACAGUCGGAGACUGAAAAAACGGAAGCAGAAGAGCCUGUAGAGGAGGCUAGUGGGGGUGUGACUAAGACAACAACUGUGCGUACUACGAAGAUCGUGAAAAAGCUGAAUGAAGAUGGAGAAACAACAACUGAGGAGACCAGCACUGCCAGUGACCCAGUGACAGUCCGAGAACUUUCGCCAGCUUUUUCAGAAGUUCCGAGCGAUACUUCAACCACAUCCAGCCAAAUCGAUGGUGCAAUUAUCAAAACUACGACGAUUCGAACGAUGCGCAUAACAAAGAGGAUUUCCAAUGACGGACGUAUUCAUCUUACGGAAAGCGAGACACCAAGUGAUGUGAUCGUGACUUCAAGCAUUGAGAUGCCCGAUCAAAGACCAAUUAGUCCACUGAUUUCCUCGAGGUCAACCUCCCCUGCUGUGACGCCUAGUUCCGAACUUAAGCUAGAUAAUUUGGGUGCCAGUAUUCAGUUAGGAUUGAAAGACAGUCCGACAGGGGUCAAGGUUAUUGGCAUUGAAACAAGCACAGUGGAUUUGCCGAAGCUUGCUGAACAGCAAGUUGUUACAAGCAAGACUAAUGGGGCCAUUAACGAGACGGAUAGUAUUACCACUACUACGACGACUACCAAGAACACGAUACUAACGACUACGCAACGACGAAGCUUCGAAACCGAAGAUGGCACAAAUGUUCUUUUCGUGGGAGAAGGCAUUGACGGUGCAUAUCCACCAGGCACAGUUCAAAAAAUUUCCCUUAUUACCCAUGAAGAGAAGCUGAAGACACCUAUUGUGAAAAUGCAUCUUGAUUUUCCGGAGGUUAGUCUUCGGGUGACCGAGACUGUGACUGAAAAUGUGGAAUCCCUGCAAAGAGCAGCCGAAAGUAAUGAAAAUUCCGUGAUUGAAGUAGUUGAAUUGUCCAAGUCUGAAGUUCCAGAACCAAUAGAAUUGAAGCCAGAUCCCAUUCUUAAGAUAGAUGAUCAUUCUACCAAUUUAGACGAACUAAAAGCGACCCCAACAGUUUUACCCGAUAGUAAUACUGCAGAACUUAGCCGUGAAGAGCAGAAACUUUUCGAGGACAUUCAAAAGAAAUUGUCUAAGAAAGAUAAAAAGAAGCGCCCCGCCAUUCCUGAAGAGUUUAUUAAGCAAGAAACGGUUCAGGUCAUUUUAGAAGAAAGCAAAGGUAACGAGGCUCCUAUUGUUGUCUCAGUAGUUGAAAAACUUACAGAUGUCGUUGAAUCCUCAGUUAAGAAGGACCCUAUUGCCCCGACUGUAGAAGUAGAAAUAGUUUCCGAAGCACCCCUUGUUUCAACAACUGAUGACGUCGAUGUAGAUACUAAGCCGAUCCCUGUUCCAGAGGCAGAGAAAUUGCUUCUCAACAUUUCUGAAGACUCGUCCCUAAUCUCAAGCUUUAAGUUAAUCGAACAAAACAAUUCCGAUAUUCUUUACCAUGAGUCAAUAGCAGUUGUCCCUGUUUCCACCCAAGAAGAAGUGCCAGUAGAAAAUCCAUGUGAAACUCAGUCAAGUCCUCCUCCUACUAAUAUCGCUAAUGAAAUUGUUCCUGAUAAACCAAGCGCAUUAAUUGCUGAAGCAUUUGUGGCUAACACGGAUCUAAUUACGCAAGAGCUCGACGAACUGCUCCAAUCGCUUUCGAGCGUCGAGGAUGGCAUCGCCAACAUGAACCAGAGCAGCUUGGAUGGCAUGCUACACGGAUUGAAGCUAAUCCAGAGCAAUCUCGAAGUACACGAAAGGGACGCCAUCGAGUUAAAGAACCAGGCAAAGACAUUGCCCACAGAUCCGGCCACCGAACGUUUGCUGAACGACACCGUGGACCGUAUUGACCUACUACUACGCCGCACUCAGCAAGGCAUCACCAUGAUAGCGAAUGCUAUGCAUGGUCAGAAGAAGCGCCAGCAGGAGAUCGACGAGUACCAGCAACAUCUGCUGGAGCUGGAGCAAUGGAUCAUCGAGGUUUCCGCCGAACUGGCUUCCUUUGAGCCCACCUCGGACAGCAGUACGGAUGAGCAGGUGCUCAAGUCGCAGGUGGAGAGAAGCCAGCAGUUGCUGCGCACCCUCAAGGAUCGCCAGCAGUCCAUGGAGGAUUUGGUGGAACAGACGCGUCAGCUGCAAUCCCAUCCCGAUGUUGCACCCCUGGCGGACACGCUGAUGGAGCAGCUGCAGAGUAUCAUUACCAUACUGCGGGAACAGGUCACAGUGGCCACCAAGCGCAUCUUUACCAUUGAAAAGCGCAUCGUGGACUUGCGAAAGGCGAAGAGCGAGGAGGCGCAACGCCAGCGUGUGCUGGCUGAUUCACUCAUCAAGCCACCAACAGAAGUCCCAGCGGGUCCAGAGGCGCAUGAAUCCAUCGAGUCCAACGAGAACACCAUCGACUCGAGCUCCAUGCCCGAAGAGGAGAUCAAACCGACUGGAGUGUAUGUGGAGACACAGACAUCGCUCAGCCUGCAGCAACCCCCGGUUCAGGUGGUGACCACCACGACUGUGGAGGCGCAGACCAGCUUCAAGGAGCCAGCUGUAGAGACCGCAGAGGUGGCUCUGCAAACCCAGAAGGAGCGUUCGCCCACCGAGAACAUUAUGGUAACGCAAACGGUGCAGCAUGGCCAGGAAACGAUCCAGAUCGACACGACUCGCAACAAGGAUGUGCCCGAUGAGCCCGAAGAUGUCCAGAUUGAGGCUCGUUAUCAUCAACGCCCUAAGGGCGAUGUCGACCGCGCCACCGAGUUGAUCCUUAAAAAUGUGCCUCAAGCAUUCGAAACCACUUUCGUGGAGCCGGAUGAGACGACCACCGAAGUGAUUGUGGGACCCGAUGGCACCAAACACAUAGUGCUCAAGAAAGUAACCCGAACCCGCCAGCAAGUUGUACAGCAGCAGCAGAUUAGCUCAAUCGAGACAAUUAGCGAUUCGGAUGGCAACAUUGAGGUUCACUCCACAGGUCAGAUUAAUUUGGAGAAUGUGCACACCACGGACACCAAAGCUGAUCCGGAGGAGGGCAGUGUCCACACAGUAAUCACACAGCAAACACGUGGUGCUGUUGUGGAUUCAUCGCAGCCCGAGGGCGUGAUCCUACAAGAAUUCGAAACCGAGCCCACUAUUGAGACAUACGAAGAAGUGAUUGCCCCAGGCUCCCAGGCGCAACUGAUUUCCAUGCAGCCAGGAGAUGUGCAGACCCAAGGCACCAUCCGAGCAGUAGUCCAGCAGGUGACCCGUAAGGUGAUCCGUAAGACGCGCAAGAUAAUCAAGCGGGUGGUGAUCAUCGACGGCAAGGAGCACAUCACUGAGGAAGUGGUCGAGGAGCCAGAGGAAGUGGAGAUCACAGAGGAGGAGACAGCACCGCACAUCAAUGUAAAUAUUGUGCGAACCGUUGACGGAAAGGUGGUGAGUGAGGAGGAGUUCCAGCGAAUGAUGCAGGAGCCCGGAGUUCUAAUCGAAGAAGUUGCCACGGAUCUGCAAAAGCAGACGACGGCAGAGCCGCAGCAAGAGGUAUUUGAUAUUGAGUCUACCCAAGUCACAACCACCACAAGAACUACAACCGCAACCACACAAGAACAAGAACAGCCAGAACAACAGACACAACCAACAACAGAAACGACCAAAGAAGCACCAGUAGAGUUGCCAGCACCUCAAGUAGAUGUUGAACAACCCGUAGUAGUUGCCACUACCAGUCCCGUUCAUGUUCCAACAGCGGAUGUAGUCGAGCCCAACGACGCCUCGCCGACUGUAGAAGUCGAAGCAGUGGUUGAAGAUAUCAACGAGAUUUGGCCACUGGAACAUCACCUAAAACCCACCAACAUUGACUUCUCCCAGCACAUCGAAGAAUUGGCAGCACCAGCGACCACAGUAGAGACUGAAGCCUCCAUGCCAGUAGAGGAAAUUUGGCCGACAAGCCCAGAGACCGGAAACUCAUUGACCCUGGAGCACUAUGAAUUCGAGCCACAAUCCCCCCAUGAAGAGAGCACAAAAUCUGAUCUAGUUAAGCCCCAAGAGACUGAACCGCAAGCUGUUGCUGAAACCAAGCCAGAAGCCAUUACCACUGGAAGUAUUACCAUUACCAAGACUACAACCACCAUCACAAGCUCGACAGAAAUACCGGAGGAAACUCUUGCCCACAAUUUGCCAGCAGAUGAACAACAGCCUCCUGCAUCCAAAAUCAAGACUGACAUUAACAGUUUCCUUGUAGCCGAACAGACUUUGGCCGCAGCUCUUCAGGAGCAGUCUUCAACUCCCACCGAAGCAUCGGUUGUUGAAGAUGUAAAGGAAAUUGUUCAGCCCAAAGAAAUUGUUCUUGAAGAGAGGACUGUUGAAAUUUCAACCAUCAAGACUGAAGAGAAUCAAGAAACACCAGUUACAGUGGAGGAAGUGAAAUCACUGCCCGCAGAGCCUGAACCAGAAGAUUCCGAGCUGAAGGAAGUGGCCAUUGACAUUGUUGAGCAGACUGACCAAAAGCCAGAAGAACUCGUUGUGGGUACACAACCAACACCUGGUCAAAUCGACUUGCGUGCCGCCACUCAACUCUUCAUCUCUGGAGAGGCCGCAGCUUCAGCGGCACCACAGAAAACCUUCCAAAUUACAGCACCCUCUCUGGAGGACAAUGGCGCUGGCGUGCUGAAGGUUGUCCUGGGCAAGGAAGAGGAUACCGCAUCUCCAACCACCGGCAAGGUUAGCAUGACCAUCAUUGAGACCGCUGCUGCUCCCGUCGCCGACGCCAAGCGGCGUCGAAAGAAAAAGAAGAGAAGAGAUACAAAGCACGAGGAGGAGCUCGAGCAAGAACAAGAGACUGAGCCGGAAGCCGUUGCCGUUCAGGAGCCUGAGGUGAGCUCUGAUGUGCCCGUUUCUCCGGAGGAUUCUCCACGCGAUACCGUUCGCCAUGAGUCCAUAGUUGAGAUUAGCCCCGAUAGCGAUUUGUCCAGCAUUGAGACGGACACGAAGGUGAAGAUUGUGGAGGAUGCCGUUGUUUCUUCACCAUCGGAGUCGCCACGAGCGCCAAUGGUUGAGCUGGUCAUUCCCACUGAAGUGGUUGAGUUGGCUUUGGUCGAGGAUGAGGAACAACAGACAACACCACGAGUUCCCUCGCCCACUGAAAAAUCGGAAGUCGAACAGGAUAUAAAGUCCGUGCAGACUUCGCCACAGCAUCAACCCACCCUGGAUGAGACUGCAGUGCAGACGAGUCUGGAGGUGCAGCCCGAUAACCAGGAGAAUGAAUCGCAAACACUGAUCGUGGAGAUAACGGAGACUGAAGCACAAACCACUCCCAGAAAUGAGGAGCAGCCUGUGGCUGUGGAAAUAUCCACCACUGAGAUUCAAACCGAUGUGAGUGGCCAGCCAGCUGAAACUGUAGAGAUUUCCAGCCAAACAACAGUAACCACCACCAUCGAGAAGGAACUGCAGACCACUCCAAAGGAUUCUCCUCGCGCACCAGAGGCAGGCAGCAGUGACGUGGUGGAAUCUCUGGUGCAGGACUUGGUUAAGGAUAUGACUACCGAUCUGCCAGUUCGUACAAGCGAACAGUCUACCGUGACUGAGACCACCACAACCACGGAGACCCAUGUGCAGACAGCCACUCCGGAGCCAAGGGAACCAACUGAAGACAUAAGACCGGAAACUGUCCAUGAAGAGACCUCAACCCUGGAACUUGUGCAGGUCGCUGAUGGUGAGAUGCAAACCACGCCUCGUGGAGAUGAGCAGCCCGUAUCUUUGGAUGAUACCUCACUGACAGCCACAUCGAUAUCCGUUUCGGAACCCUAUGAACUGGAGGUCAAGACUACGGUGGCCAUUCCCGCCGAUUCUGAUACAUCCGUGGCUGAGCCGACGGUCUAUGAAUACACGCAGACCAUGCAGCUGCCCAAGCAGGACAAGAAAUCCAAGAAGGACAAGAAAAAGAAGCAGAAGAAUGUGCCUGAAGUGGAGCAGCAGCUGCCAGAGGAGCCACAGAUCAGUGUGACCGUUGAAAUCGCACCUGAGUUGCUAACAGAGUCAGGUAUUGUGGUAUCCACUAACCAGCAGAUUGAAGAUGUGCCUCAUGUAACACCCGUGGUGGAGACUGCCAUCGAAUCCGAAGAAGUGGAAACGCCCAAAGCUCAACGAGUGCAACUUCAAAUCACCAAGACCACUGUAUACGAUGAGUAUCCCGAUCUGCCAGUGCAUAUUACUGAGCAGAACAAGGUCUUGAUUGCGUCCCAGCAGAGCAAACGAUCCGGAGCAGGACCCACAUCCUCAGCGGUGACCAUCGAAGAGGUGGGCUCACCCACGGAGGAGCUGGUGGUGCCCAUCACCCCGGGACCAGACAAUCUGAGUGGCGAGCCCCAAAACAUUUGGUUCAGUGCCACCACCAGUGUGGAUAAGACACCCAUUGAACUCUCCCAGGCUCUGAUUAUGAGCGAGAGUUUGCAGCACUAUCCAGGACAACAGCAACUGACCAACCAGCAGCCAAUCCUGAUUUCCACCAAGGAGGCCAUUGGCGAUCGCAUCAAGCAGCUCAAGCAGGCGACGCCCCAACAAGCCACUCCCCUGAGCAAUGUGCUCCACUUGGCCACCUUAUCGGAACAGAUUAAGGAACUGCCCACUGAGCAACGCAUCUUGGAGGUCAACGAAGGUCUCCAGGAUCUCGAUGUUGCCAUUAAAAAUGGUGACAAGACUGUGAUUCAAACCACUGUCAUCACGGUCAUCGAGAAGGUAUCAACUUGGUUGGAAACCAUCGAGUAUCGCGUCUACCUCAUCAGGCAGAACUCCAAUGAGGGACCCUCCGAAGAGAAGCUGGACAACUAUAACCAACUCAACGACGAGCUUAGCACGAUCAAGCAAAAUGUCGGCCAGCUGGAGCGACAAUUGUCCAAGGCUGAACCGGAACCAGAGUUGCUGCAGUGCGUGGAUAGCCUAAAGGAGCAUGUGGAUGCAGUGGAGCAGGUGACACAACAGAACCAGGUGCAGGACAGCAAUGAUCUGGACAAGUGGCACAGCUUCGAGGUACUUCUGUACAGCGUGUCCGCCGUCUUGGCCGAGCUGCAGCAGAGCUACGAUCUUUUGAUCAAUCAGGAGUAUCCCUUGUCCGCCAAACUGGCCCAGCUGGACGAGUUGGAGCAGCAGCACGAGGCGGCACAGCAGCAACUUGCGCAGCUCUGUCAAAAUGCUCGAGCUUUCCAGCGCGAUUUCCCAGGCAAGAAGAUGCCGCAGGAUGUGCACAAUGCCUUCGAGACCAGCAAGAAUAUUGCCAACAACAUUCAGGCAGAGCGUGAGCGUGUCCUUCAACUUCAAUCCCUGGCGGAGGAGUACGAGCAGACCCUCAAAGAGUUCACCAAAAUCACGGUUCUUGCCGACAAGCUGGUGGAGAGUCCAAUUGUUUCCAGUUCCCUCGAGCAGCUAAACAACGAGGUGCAGAAACAGCGGAAGUUCUUCGUAAAUCUCAGCCACUGUCGUGCCAUGUUGGAGUCCCUGGAGGAGAACAUCGAUAGUGAGACCCGCGAGAAGCACUCGGAAUUGCACAAGGAGCUCUACAACAGGGCUACCAGUCUGCUGGACAAGGCAUCCGAAAGGUCCUCCAAACUGGUGCAGGCUGCCUCCCGGUGGACUGUGCUGGAGAAGGGCAUGCGAGAUGAGCUCCAAUGGCUCCAGGUGGCACAGCAACGAGUUCCCGACUUAUCUGCCGUAACUUCCGCCGACUACGAUCAAUAUACCACCCUGUACCAAUCCCUGAGCAAUGAUAUCUCACAUCACUACGUGAAGAUGACACAGCUUUCGGGAAUUGCCAACAAGUUGCAGCAUUUGGUGCAGGCUCCCAAUCUCGUAGAGGAAACCAAUGAGGCAUUGAUAGUGCUGCUCAAACUGCGCGAGGAGGUUGCUCUCUACCUUCACCGCCUUCUGGUCUUCAAGGAAAUCUGGGUGCAGUACGAACAGCAAACGGAUAAACUGGAGGCCUUUGUACGCGAAGCAGAGCAGGAACUGAGGAACAUUCAGAUACCCUCGCAGCCCACACACCAGCCCAUCGAGCACAUGCGUCAAUUCUGGGAGAUCAAGGCCCGCUUCGAGCUCCACAAUAAUGUGCGAACCGAUACGGGUCUGAGCUUUGAGAAAUCCCUGCAGGUCAUUCCAUUGGCCGACGAGAUGCUUCAGCGGCAGUUCCAUGCCCAACUGGAGGAUCGCUGGCAGGCCGUGGCCCAGGCCAUCGAGCUCAUUCAGCACAACAUUGUAGAGUGCCUGUCGUCGGAGGAUGUGCCCGCGGACGAGAAACUCAAGAUGGUGGAGCGAGAGCUGCAGGAGAUCUACCUGACCAUGACCAGCAUGAAGGGUGUCAUCAAGAACGAGGAGGAGCUCUGCCUGUACAUCGAACGAGUCCAAGUACUACGCACUCGCGUCGGAUUCAUUGGCAACGAGCUGGGCAGGAUUGGACUUCAGGAGCCCGCCAUUGAGCCGGAAAAAGUGGGUGAGCUAUUCGCGCUCUCUCACAAGAUAAGCACCCAGAUUGCCGAGGAGCUGGAGGGUGCAUCUGUGCUGCGUGACCAACUGCAGGCCAUCCAGGAGGGUAUUAGCAAUCAACGCAAACACCAGGCCAAGAUCUCGGUCAUACUGGAUGAAUGUGAAGCCGCCGAGCGCCAAGGAGCAGAUGUCCUCGAAAAGGCCGUCGCCGAUUGCCAGGCCGCCGGCGAGGAGCUGGUCAUCAGCUGGCAGGAGAUUAUGCGAAUCCGCCAGAUGCUCCACACCCUGCCCAUGCGCCUCAAGAUGUCCGUUUCCCCAGUCAAAUUGGAGAGGGACAUCUCCCAACUGCAGGACGACCACGCCUUCCUCGAGAGCAAGUGCACCAACAUUAUGGCCAUCCUGCGAAGCCGACUGGCCGUCUGGCUGCGCUACGAACGUCAGCUGGAGCUGGUCCACGGAUCCGUCCAGGAAACCGAUUUCAUGAUGGAACUCAUCCGGGUGCACGGUCAAGUCGACUACGAGCGCCUGCGCAAAGCCACGGAACGUUUGGAGGGACUGGCUGGCGAUCUGCAAAACCGCGAGCAACUGAUCGAUGAGCUGAAGGGUGCGGCCAAGCCGCUGAUCGAGAGCUGCGAUGUCCAGAUUGUCGAGCAGAUCGAGUCCGCUGUCCAGGAGGCGGUAGUCGCCUGGCAUGACACCAGUGAGAAUCUGCAGCAGCUGCGAACCCGCUACCAACGAGCCGUCGAACUGUGGGACAAGUACCGCAACGCCUCAGCGGCCGUCAAGAACUCCAUUGACCAGCAGAUGGAUACGGUCAAGUCCCUGGAGCAGCCCCUGGAUGCCCUGCAGCACGCCAAGGUAUGCCAAGACAACCUGACGACCCAGAAUGACAGAAUCUUGGAGCUGCGCGACAUUGUGGCCAAGAUCGCCGCCGAUGUGGGCCUGGAUGCCUCGGCCCUCAUGCAAGGUGAACUGGAUGCACUGGGCCAGCGGUUGGCCGAGUGCAAGGAUGCCAUCACCACGCUGGCCAACGUGGCCGAGACGCAGGACAAGGAGCGCAAGGAGCUCGACAAGGAGGUGACUCUGGCCAAGGCCUACUUCAACAAUGUGCAGCAGGACAUUUCCCGAGAGGUGCCGCAAAAUCCCAAGGAGAGCGAGGAGCAGCUGGCCGCGUUGCGAGCCCAUCUCCAGACUUUGGCACGAACGGAAGAGCAGCUGCGUCAGCUGAAGGAGCGCCAUCAGAACAGCAGCGAAGUAGCACCAUCGGCGACUGGCAGCGAUGACGAUGGCAUCCUGGAGGUGCUUGCCCUGUGGCAGAAGAUCUUCCAGGACACCUUCCAGGAGUACCAUCGCCUGUCCACGCGACUCGCCCGCAGCCAAAAUAGCUCGGAGGCGCUGCGAUUGUGGCGGCAGUACCUGCAGCACGUCCAGUCCUUCCUGUCCUGCUCCAUUCCCGAGGAUUACAGCAGCCUGCGAGAGCAGCAGCAGCUGUGCGCCAUCCACCAGAACUUGCUCAUCUCGCAGCAGAGUGUGCUUUCCGAAACCCCACUGGAAUCGGAGCUAUCGGAGCAGUACAAGGCACUGACCAACCUGCACAAUGAAACGCUCUCGCGGAUCAUGCAGCGAAAUGGUGAGCUGGAGAGGCGUGUGAGUGGCUGGAAUGCCUACCGCCAGCAGCUGGCUGCCCUUUUGGACUGGCUGCGUCAGAGGGAAGCGGAGCGCCAUGCCCUCCAACUGCGCUACAUUCACCUGAAGCGAGUGCCCCACCUGAAGCACCGCUUGGAUGCGAUGAUCCAGCAGCUGGAGCAGGGAGAACAGCAGAGCAAGGCUUUGCAGGAGCAGCAGCAGGAGCUGGCCAGGCACUGUGACGACGCGCUGGCCACCGCCAUGCGAAUGGAGCAGGCCAGCAUUGGCCAGCGGAUCAGCAAUCUGCGUGCGGCCCUUAAGACCUGGCAGGGAUUCCUGCAGCGCGUCACCCAGCUAUCGGAAAGCUACGAGCAGCGAGUAAACCAAUUGCAACAGGAAUUCGGUGCAGCUCAAAGGCUUUUGGAUGCCAAUAGCGAGUCCCUGCCCACUCAACCAGCGGCGAUUGAGCAACUUUUGGGAUCCCUACGUGCGCAGAGGGUACAACUUGGUGCCCAAGUCUCCGCUCUGGAGAGUCUGACUGUGACCCAGGAGGAGCUCAAGGAGUGCAUCAGUCCGCACGACAUGAAGACCAUUCGCCAAAGGAACUGGCUGCUCUGGCAGCAGCUCGCCGAUCUGGACUACCAGCUGGCCAACCUGAUCAACUCCAUUGAGGAGCGGCUUUCCCUACUGUCCAACUAUCAAAUCAGAUACGAUCGCAUCUCCCAGUGGCUGCAACGUUUGGAACAGCGUGUGGAAAAGGAUGCGGAUGUCACGGCCAUGACCAAUCCCGAACAGGCAGCCAAGCAGCUGGAGCAGCAAGUUAAUUCCGAGCUGCAACUGCGGGACAAGGAACGGGAGUGGCUUCUAUCCACCAGCAGGGAACUGCUCACCCUCUACUCCGAGCCGGAAGUGCGGUCCCAGGUGCAACAGCAGAGCGACUCCCUCAUCGAUCGCUGGCAGCGUCUCAAGUAUUUGGCCAAGCAGAAGGCCACCAAGAUAGGGGAGCUCAAGAUGACACUUCUCCGGUUGGAGGAGCGCAUCGCCCUGAUCCGCGCCUGGCUUUUCGAGGUGGAAUCCCAACUGGACAAACCCUUGAAUUUCGAGAGCUACACACCGAAUGUGAUCGAGGCCAAGCUAAAGGAGCAUGAGCAAAUCCAACGCUCCAUUGAGCAUCACAGCAGCAAUGUGGGCGAGGUCCUAAAUCUCGUAGAGAUGCUCCUCAACGAUGCGGACAGCUGGCGCACGCAGGUGAACACUUCCGGAUUAGCGGCAUCAGCUCAGAAUCUGGAGCAGCGCUGGAAGAACGUGUGCAGCCAGUCGGCGGAGCGCAAGGCUCGCAUCCUGACCAUUUGGAAUCUUCUCCAGCAGCUGAUCAAACUCACGGCCGAGCACAAGAACUGGCUGGGAAAACAAGAAAGCCAAAUUGCCGGCUUUGAACGAGAUCAGAAGUCCAACAGCAAGCAAAAGCUGGAGGAGCGCCAGAAGGAACUGAGAGCUAAGCUGGAGGAGCUGGAAAGCCAGUCGGUGAAUCUUCGCCAGCUGGAGCAGAUCUAUGCCAAGCUAACCAUGAGCGCCGGCGUCGAGCCGGAGAACAUCCAGAAACUGACGCUGCCCACCAAGGUAAUGGUGAGCAUGUGGCGCCAGUUGACACCACGCUGUCAUGCCCUAUUGGAUGCCAUCGACAAGGAUGCCAAGCUUAUGCGCGAGUUCAACAAUGCCCAACUGGAGGCCACCAACUCUCUGAAUGCCAUACAAAAGGCUUUGGAACAACUGCCAAGCGUGGAGGAUCAGCAGACCUCCAAGGCGCAGCCCAAAGCGGUGCUCCAACGAUUGGAGAGCCUGGAAAAGAAGCUGCAGGACGCCCAACAGCAUGUCCAGCAGGCGGAUAGCCUGGCCCAGGAGGCCAAGACCAGGACCAAGCAGCAGCCCCAACUGAAGCAAUUGCUGGAACUUGUGUCCGCCUACACCACCCUCUGGCAAACGGUCCACACCCGCAUUGUGACCCUCAAGACCACGUGGCUGACCAGAGCAGCACAGGCAGCCGCCGCGCUGCCGGUCAAUGAAGCAGCCAAUGCCGCCGUCCAGGUAAACACCCUGUCCCAGCGGAAACUUCGGCAGGCGCAGCAGAUGCAGAGGGAAACCUCCAUCACGGCCAAGGAUGCGUACAUCAUGGAACUGCAGACGGCGAUCACGGAGUGCCAGAGCAAUCUGGACGAGCUGCAGCGCACGGUGGUGGACAAGACCCGCAAGCCGGGACCCCAGAAGAUAGCCAAGCUGCUGGGCAACGCGCAGUCAUCCACCGAGCUGGUGAAGCAUCUCAGCCAUCUGCUGCUCACCGAGUGCAAGGCGGAUGACCAGGCUGCCGAGGUGGACACCGUGGCAGAGCUCACGUUGCGCUUCGAUACACUGCAAUCGCAGUGGAAGGCGCGACAGCAGCACGAUCAAAAUGCAAGGUGCCACCUACCUGCGUCCUACAAGUACAACUGCAUCCACGAGGUCGGCCGGCUAACGUGUCCGCUCUGCACACAGCGAAACUGGCAGCAGAUCGACAACGAUCUGUGGCGCCUCGAGCAGUGGCUGCAGUUCGCCGAGAGCACCCAGAAGGCCCAGUCAGCCCCGCCCUCGAAUAUCGAGCUGCUCGAGGACGUCACGCAGGACCAUCGCGAGUUCCUGCUGGAUCUGGAGAGUCACAAGUCCAUCAUAUCGUCGCUGAAUGUGGUCGGUGACCAUCUGGCCACGCACACUUUGGAUACCGAAAAGGCGAGGCAACUGCGAUCGCGUCUGGAGGCGGACAAUGAGCGCUGGAACAAUGUGUGCAUCAAUGCUACCAAAUGGCAGGGUCUGCUGCAGACCGCCCUGAUGGGCAACAGCGAGUUCCAUCAGACCAUCGAUGAGCUGGUGGAGUGGCUGCAGCGCACGGAGCAGAACAUCAAGGCCUCCGAGCCCGUCGAUCUCACCGAGGAGCGCUCCGUGCUGGAGGGCAAGUUCAAGAAGUUCAAGGAUCUGCGAGCCGAGCUGGAAAGAUGCGAACCUCGGGUGGUCAGCCUGCAGGAUGCCGCCGAUCAGCUGCUCCGCUCCGUCGAGGGCUCCGAGGAGCAGUCCCAACACACCUACGAGAGAACCCUUUCCAGAUUGACCGAUCUCCGGCUGCGCCUCCAAUCCCUGCGUCGUCUAUCCGGCAUCUAUAUCGUCAAACUGGGCGCCGUUCUCGGUUACGAGGGCGACAACCUCGGCGUGCCACUGCACAUGUUGUCCAGUGAGCUUUUGGAUAAUACUACAUUAUCAACCUCUUCUAUGCAGGCCGCCGCACCCAACACAGAAAAUGCAAACAACACCGAUGGCGGCGAUGCUGUCGAUGGCGAUGUCAUCAAUACCACGGUUCUGGCACGCGGUGCACGAUUCCUAGGCCGCGUUGCACGUGCCUCGCUGCCCAUUCAGGCGCUCAUGCUGCUGCUGCUAGGUGUGGCCACCCUGGUGCCCCACGGUGAGGACUACACCUGUAUGUUCUCCAACACCUUCGCCCGCAGCCUGGAGCCCAUGUUGUCGUAUCCCCACGGACCGCCACCCACGUAAGGCUGUCGAGUUGCAAUUGGAUUAGUGCAAUGAAACAAACAAGAAAACCCUAAACCCAACAUAGGUACUAAGCAAAAACCCCAGAGCCCAGAUUUGAAGAUGCCUUUUGUAAGCUAAAUUUCAAAGAGAGAUCCUGGGCAGCACGAAAUUGCGAUCAGUAUCCUGCGAAUUUCGUGGAACAUUUUUGCAGGACACAAUCUCAAGUUCCCGCUGCUGGCGAUGGUCUAGACAAGCAAACGAAUCCCAAGACAAAUCAUGACCCACAUAGACCAAUGGCCUGAAGAUCUGCUUGGUGACCCAUGUCCCCAGCUUGCAGCGCGUCCUUCUCCCAAACUCAGGGCGAUGCUGUCAACAGGAGGCACAGGCCGCCAUUUGGACUCCGGCUCCUAAGAAGCCCCCCUGUCAAAGGAUCCUUCUGCCCAAGGCCAAGAUCUCUCCCACGGCCAAGGGAUAGAUGAGAUAACAGCCAGUGCGCCAGCCACAGGACACUGUGUUCGCAUCCAAUCCUUAAACCCCAUCCGGACAUUGGGGGGCUAGACAUUUCAAAGCAUUCCUCUUACUCAUUUCCAAAUUACCAAUAGACUUUGACCAUCGAAGCCACGACUCUCGAUAAUAAAAAUGGAAAACGUGCGUGCCACGAGCAUUGAACAAAACGAAGCAAGUGUCCUAUGCCGGUGCUAAACCAACCUACAAAUUUUCUGUAUAAAGAAAAAAUGUAAAAUGCGUAUACAAAAAAAUAAAAAGAAAUACAUGAAAGAAGAGAUUAAUUCUUUGCAAAAAAAAAAAACGUAAACGUAAAAUGCAAUUUGCAAUUUGCAUAUUGACAAGUGACGUAAGUCCAUCCAGUAAAAAUACCUAUUAUGUUGUUAAUAUUUUUUGAUAAACCUAAUUAUAUUUGCCUUAUACUUAUCCAACUUGUUUAUUACAACUAUUUUUUAUUAUUUAACGCUUGAGCAAUUAUUGAAAAAAUACAUACAUUUAUUUAGUAGGCCUAUGAACGAUUUACUAUGUAUAAAAUUAAGUUUGAAUUAAAUGUUAAAUCUGUGUACUUUGCUGCUUUUCUCUGGUUAUGAAAUUAUUAGCCGUUGACAAGUUAAUAUAAUUUAUGUAGCAUUUUAAGAUUUCCUUUCUUGUGAACAACUGUACCUUUAUAUGCAUU
This 45736-nucleotide unclassified non-coding RNA is filed under the name Drosophila yakuba. Its description in RNAcentral is "GE11346". The record is from RNAcentral. Lineage: Eukaryota; Metazoa; Arthropoda; Insecta; Diptera; Drosophilidae.